GGCCUUUCUUCCAUAUUUCCUGAUAACCCCCUGCAGAAAUAGACAAACACCAAAACUCGUGGAAUUCUGUCAGAUAAAACCCUAAGUCUAGAUGUUGAUUUCAUUUGGAUCCUUUUCUUUAUUUAUUUGAUAAUUAAAUUUGAUACUUAAGGACCGUCAACAAACUCCCCCAAGCUUACCUCUUGCUCGUCCCUGAGCAAGGAUAGACUCAGCUAUGGAUCAUAAGUUGUUGCAAUAAUAAAAAUUGACGGUACACAUGCUUUUUUUUAAAUAAGAUCUCAUCUCUGAGUUAGAGUAAACUGUCAAGACUUAAAACUUACUUACUUUACCUUCACCAUGGGAAUUGUAACUGUCACUUCUAUCUUGAGUGGUUAAAAGAUAGAACAGUCUAGUCAAGUGUCAUGUCUCUUAUUCUUGAUCAGCUAUAGCUCUGUUGUUUUUGCAGAUUUUCAAAUAAAACUCAGAAAUUCCUUGUAUGAUUCUCUCAGAUCUCUCUUUUGUGGUAUUUUUUGAUCCUUACCAAGACAGUAAUGGUGUAUGCCUUCUCUCAAAAUAUGUAGUAUUUGUGGUAUAAGGCAUAGUGACAUUGCCUUCUCUCUCACCCUACUCUAAUAAGGCUUUUAUAUCUGGAGCUCAUAGGUGGGAGAUAAAAUAUACAUACUUACAAGACAUUUAUUGUAUAGUCAAACCAUGGAUCCAAAGAAACAAAUCAAUAAGUCAAAUCAAAAUGUGCAUGUGUGGCGAAUGAAUGGUGAUGAUGGUGGUAACAAUGGUGGAAGUCUAAUUCUACAUUUGCUCUUUGAGGGGAUACAUACCUUUCUUGCUUUUUGAAACUUUAUGAGGAGAAUGAGAUGCUCUUCUUUUUUUCUCUCAGGUGGGUAUCUUGUACCCCUAAUUCUACUGUCGGACACUUGUCCAAUUUUACCUCUCGUCGCACUUUUUCUUUUCUUUCGAGGUUCCGGGCACUUGCCCCUUUUUAUUUCCUCGUAUCUCCUUUUUUUUAGAGCACUCAUCUCUUGAGAUAAUAUAGCAAGUGGUAGUAACAAGAUAACUUGAGCAUUUAUUUUACAAGGGAAAAUAGAAAUAUUUUUGGUUAUUCUCUCCCAGAUUAGGAGUAGCAUAUUUUUGGGUGGUUCUGGAGAUGGAAAUGAGUAGAUAUAUGUGGAUGGUACUUCCGGAGUAGAAGUAGCAUAUAUGAGUGAACGUGCAAGUGAAAUCUUGAUUUAACCACAUGACAAGCUCCUAAGGGUCUACACAGCUUGACCACACUCAAUUCUCAUAAGCAGUAAAUAGUAAAUGUGUGGCUCAAAGUCUAGCAAGCAUGUAUAUAUGGCUGUGGUAGGAAUUUAAACUCUCAUCAUACAGGAACUCAUCAUGCAACAUUUUAAAGAUUUUCAAAGAUAAAAUUCUCCAGAAUUCUAGCAUCUCUAGGAACAGAUAAACAGCAUCUCAACCUUCCCAUAUCGUAUCCGUUAACAACUUAGACUUCAGAUCAAAUUUUCAUCCCACAAGUUUAGGUCUAGAGCAAGCUUUAAAUUAUAACAGUUAUAUCUAAACUUGAGAGAGAACUUAAAAUGUGCAAAUUAGGCAGAGCAACUAUUCAUCAUAUCCAUGCUUAAGUUUUAUUUAGAUACAGAUUAGCAUAGCCACUUUAUUUAUUUAUUAAACACACUAAGCAAAAGAUAAAUAUAUAAGCACGAAAUCUUUAUUUGGUUUUUUAUAGUUAUGUAUAACUAUAUUUUAAUAUAAUAUAAGUAUAAAGAUAGAUAGAAAUACUUAUCGGGAUAAAUGGGGGUGCUCUUCCCCAAGCUGAAUUUUGACGUAAUUUCUCUUGAUGUAGCUAGCAGGUGGUAGAGGUGUAUUUGAAAGUCAGUAGCAUUCUGACAGCGAUUAGAAUGUCCUCCGUCUGCUAGUCUUCUUGAUUCUUAAAUUCUGUGGAGCUCAAAUAGACAACAAAGUGUUGACGGUCCUUAAUGCUUACAUUUAACCAUCAACUAAUCAUGGAAAAGGAUCUACAUGGAACCAACACCUAGACUUAGGGUUUUAUCUGACAGAAUUCCACGAGUUUUGGUGUUUGUCUAUUUCUACAGGGGGUAAUCAGGAAAUAAGGAAGAAAGGCCCACACGUCGGGUUUACAUAGAGAUAUUAACGUGCCGCGCAAUUUUCUACCAUCUAGAAGACUCCAGAAGCCACGGGAACGAACGGAAGACGUAACGGAGCCGGGCACUGGGCGUCCGCCCUCCCUUACUGGGCGCCCGCCCUCCCCCUGGACCAAUCAGGGUGAAGUUCGGGGAUCAUGCUCCACCGACCUAAUACUUCAAGGAAAACCACACGAUCAAUGUCGGUUUGAUCCGACGGCCUAGAUUCACUUGAAGGGACUAUAAAACCAGACCCCCCUGGCCCCUAGAGAUCAUACCUCUUCUACAGAAUCAAAGCUAGGGUUUCAAUUCUUCAUCCAAGUAGAGAGGAUCCCUCUAGUUCUUCUAGUUCUACCUCUAGUUCAUGGAUCUAGUUCUAGUUCAUCUAGUUCUAGUUCUAGUUCCUCUAGUUCUAGUUCUAGUUAGUUCUAGUUGUAAUCUAGAAAAUAGGGAGAGAGAAGAGGAGAGCGGAGGAGGAGCCGGAUCUGUCGGAUCUUCCUCAACAUUAUACUUUUGCAGCAUCUGGUUCGUUCUUCAUCGUUCUCCAGGUUCUUCAAUUCAUAAUUCCUGAGUUCUCUAAUUAUUUUUAUUUACAUUCAAGUUAUUUAUUGGAUUCCCGCUUGCAUCAAGUGCUCUAGUCUUUAUAACGCUAGAGUAGUAAUUAAUAGAUUAGACGUGGUGUUUAGUCUUGCGAUUACGUGGAAUUGCACCCAAUCCUGCGGAUUGUUGUGGUAGCCUUAGGGUAGUGACAGCCCUAACGGUCGACGUAUUCCACCACGUUCGGAUCGGUGUUUGUAGGACCGUAGUCAGACCUUCCUAGCCCCCUUCUCAUCUCUUUCUGUGGUUAGUGCUCUGAUGUCCCAAUAUAGAUAAUCUUGAAGUAAUUCUUGAUUCCUAGAUCAACUAGAGAACUCUCAGGAAACUUCCUCUCUUCCCACCAAAAAUAAUUAUAUAGUUAUCCUUGGGCGAUCUUGGAUCUUAAUUAGUACACUCACGUUCUCUGUGGAAAAUCGAUACUCUGGAAUACUCCCGGGUGAAAGCUACAUCGGUAUCCGUGCGCUUGCGGAUUUUUCUGUUUGCGUUUAAAAUACCCAACACAAAGCUUGUGGAACUGAUUAAGUGUUAGCAUAAAUAUCUAGCCUUUAUCAUGUUGAGACUCCUCAAUAAUUAUUACUCCCUGUUUUUAUAUUUUUAUUUUAUAAAGCAGAAAAGAAAUUUUUAUUUUUAUUUUUAUGCCACCACAGUGAAUGUACUUAUGGGUUUUAUGCCACUCGUAUACUCACAUGGGGCUUACUGUUUUUCAUAUUUUUAUUUUAUUUUUAAGAUAGUAUGAACAUAAUUAACUAAGUAAACUAGUUGAAAUAAUUGAAAGGGAAAAAGAUAACAACCAAGUUUACCUCUCGGCAAGGCGUUCGGUGUUUUUAAGUCCUCCGAACGGGACUCUCCUUUCCAUACCUGACUCGAUGCUUCAGUCUCCUUAGGAUAAUUCUGUUUAAACUCUACGUCUUCUGACCUUACAACUUCUCCUUCGUAGUCUGCCCAUCCGUCCCUGAUGAUUUGCCUUCUCUGGUUGCGGUUGCGUCGUUUUCUUACCUGCUUCGAUUCUUCAACGAUAUAAUUAGGGUCAGUAAAAUAACGGCAUACCUUCACUGAGGGGAAGUGCAUAUGGACUUCUCCGGUUUCAAUGUAGAUAAUUGCUUUAACGGUGUUGAGGAACGAUCUUCCAAAGAUGAUGGGUGGAUCGUACUCGUCUUCUCCCAUGUCAAUAACUUGAAAGUCUGUGUAGACAAAAUGAUUGUCUAUUUUGACUGGGACAUCAGUUACUAUUCCUUUAACUUCUCGAAAUGUCUGAUCUGGCAUCUGGAGCUGAAUGUAUGUUGGUUUUAGGGGCAUGGUUCCGAACAAGAGCCGAUAGGUGACUGCGGCCAUUAUGUUGACGCCCGAUCCGGGGUCACAAGUCGUGUUGUAGAAGUUGUAUCCAUUUAUGGAGCAGUAGAUGCUUGGCAUUCCUGGGUCGUCCUUCUUGGUCAAAAACGGUGACUUAAGUUGAUGAUCUUGGCCUCCAUGAACUACAGUGACCAUCUUAGCUGACUCGGUCCAUACUUGCUUGUUCCUGUUCCUCCUGUUGGUCCUCUUCCUUGAUUCACGUCUGGAUUGAUCUGGAAUUUGUGUAGUCUUGUCCUUGAAGAAAAACGUCUCCUUCCUCCCUUUGAUGUAGAAACUGAUCUUUGCAGCUCUAGCGUGGAUGAUAGCUCCUAAGGUGUUUAAGAAUGGCCUCCCUAAGAUGAUGGGUGCCCUCUCAUCAUUGCCGGUCUCUACCACUACGAAGUCUGCUAGGGCAUACAAGGUACCAACUCGGACACAAAGGUUCUUCAAUAUUCCUUUUGGAAAAGUUAUCGUCUGAUCUGCAAACUGCAAACACAUGGUUGUUUCUAAUAAAGGAUAUGUAAAGAAUUUUUCAUAGAGUACCCUGGGUAUAAUGUUGACGCUAGAGCCAAAGUCGCAGAGUGCUUCUGGGAUGUCCACCAUGCCGAUGGAGAUCAGGAUGACGGGGCGUUCUGGAUCGCCUCUCUUGACCGGCAGAAGGUCAGUUGAGAAUUCAGUGACGGGGUCACUCCAAUUACCUGCAUCCAACAUGUCUACAAGAUUUGCAGAUUCUAAUCCUUCCGGUUGUGAUGGUAUACCGGGGUUAGUAGUAGGAACAGCAGCAGUUAUUUGAUUUAACUGAGAUUCAAUCAUUUUAUUAAAGCUAAUUUGAUUCUUGAUGGAAGUAGAGAAAUUAUCCAUUCUAUUAUUUAUAUUUUCUAGCAUUUUAUCAUUAGAUGCCAAUUUCUUAGAUAGAUUAUCCAUUAGCUUUCCUUGAUUAGACACUAACUCUCUCAGAGGUGGAAAAUUAUUAUUAUUGUAAGAAUUGUUACCUUCAUAAUUACCUGAGUAGUUAGGCCUCUGUUGAUUCCAACCUUGAUUUUGUUGAGGACGGUUGUAGUAGUUGUUGUUGUUGUUGUUGAUGUAGUUCACAUCCUCAAGUAUCUCAGGGCAGUGAUUGCCUGAGUGUCCAGUGUCUCCACACCCCUCACAAGUCAUGUGAGAGUCGUAGAUGUGCAUAACUUCUUUCUUAUCUCCGGCUCUAUCAUCGAGCUUCUUCAUGAGCAGGUCUAGCUUUGCAGACAACAUGUCUACCUCCUUCAGCUGAUGCAUACCUCCACCUCUCUUGUGUGUCUGGGUCCUUUCUUCAUUCCAGCUUUGGUUGGACGCCAUCUUCUCCACAAGAGCUAUGGCUUGUCGUAUAGUAAGUGAUAAGAAUGCUCCUCCAGCUGCAGCAUCCAUGGUCUCUCGGGCACUAUUGCCGAGCCCAUGAUAAAACGUCUACAUCAAUAGCCAACUCUCCAUUCCAUGAUGGGGACAUUCUAGGAUGUAGUCUUGAAAGCGCUCCCAUGCUUGUGGAACAGAUUCAUCAUUUUGUUGCUGAAAACUUGUAAUCUUCCCACAGAGAGCAUUGGUCUUGCCCAUGGGAAAGAACUUUGCCAGGAAGUUUGUUGAGCAGAGUGCCCACGUAGUAUUCUUCUCCUUUGUAGCGUAGAACCACUGCUUCGCUCUCCCUAACAGUGAGAAUGGGAAGAGGCGAAGUAGUAUAGCAUCUUUGGAAACUCCUGAUAUGGUGAAUGUGUUGCAAAUCUCCAGGAAGUGUUGGAGAUGAGCACUAGCAUCUUCAUGUGCCUUCCCACAGAACUGGUUGGAUUGCACCAUGUUGAUAAGUCCAGGCUUGAGCUCAAAGUUGCCAUCGAUCACUGCAGCAGGUCCAGUGUGGAUGUUGUCCGUAGUGGGAGCUGAGAAUUCAUGGACCGAUUUGUUCGCCAUGGCUUCGAACUCUGAAGACAAGUUCCGGUGAUCUUCUUGAUUGGAUGAAGCUUCUUGCUGAAGUGUUGAUGAUCUCCUCUUGAGCAUGGCUCUCGUCUUCUUGAAUAAUGCUUUGGGAUUGUCAACAAAAUUUCCGGGAAGAUGUCUUCUAUUCAUACAUUCCCCUGCACAAGAUGAAAUAGGAAAAUAUCAGGGUAAAACUGUAUGAGUGAAUAUAUAAGCUCAAUCAUAUUAGUGAUGCGAAUGAUAACUCAAAAUCCUUUAUUCCAUUCUUGAUUAGUAAUCAACCUUCUCCGGCAACGGCGCCAAAAAUGCUUGUUGGGUAUUAUUGACAUCAUUACCAAAAGUAGACUAAGUUCUCUAAAUCUAGUAACGGUGCCAAAAAUGCCAAACCUAUCCCUCACACCACUUAAGCCAAGUUGUCAUCCCCAGCAUGAUAUAAGAGACGCGGUAUUGAAAUAUGCAAUUGCUCUUCUAAAUAAAUAAUGAAUGGGAUCUGUAAGCGCACAGAUUAAUACCGAUGCAGCAUUUUAACCGAGAAGUAUUCCAAGUAUCGUUAUUUAUAUUUUUACCACUAGGAAGGGAUUAGCAAUCAUCACUAUUGAUUACAGAAUAGAAUAUGAGAUUGAGUAUCUAUCAUUGCGUGUAUAAUUGAGAACAUUUAUCUAACUCUUUCAUACAGGGAUAAGUGUCACAUAAAAGAUAUAUGAAAUAAUGAAUAGUGACAAAGAUAAUUAAUCUGAUCAGCCACAUAUAAAUAUGAUAAGCACCUCAAUUAGAUACUCUAGAAAGUCAUUAGCAUGGUAUUAGAACGAACUACAAGAAUAUUUCCUAAGUUAUUCUCAACUAUAUAGUCUAGCAUUAUCAUAGUUAGUGCAAGCAUACUUAGCAAUCAUUGUGAGACAAGACUACGCCCAUGCAAAGUGAUAUUAGCAAGGUAAAUGAGAAACAUAGCAAUCACUCCCCUGUAAUAAUAUUGCUCUGCCAGCCCAAUACACGAGAGGGGGACUAUAUAAGAAUCAAUGAAGCUGUCACUAUCCCGAACUACCCCACGAUCUGGCAUAUUGGGUACAAUCGCAGAUAAAUACGGUAUAAGCACCACUCCUAUACAAUAUCUAUCAUUUACCCAUGGAUCCAAUGGAUAAACGCUAUACGAUCCUAAGCAUGUAUAUAGAUCCAAUCUAACUAAGCCAAGUACAUAACUAUGAUAAACUAAGAACAAUAUAAUCUUGAAUAUAAGCAAGUAGAGCAAAGUCAUAAGCAAUAUAUUGAAGUAGAACAAAGUCAUAUUCAUAAUAUUGAAGAACAAAGAUAAUUAGAAAGCAAUUAGAAGCACAAUUAGAGAAUUACCAAGAAUCCUCUUGACAGAUCUGGAAACCAAUCGAAGAUUUACUCCUUCUAGAUCUAGUCCUAUGUAGCUAUGCUAAUCUAGAUAUCUAAUUGAUGUGGUGGCUCUAAUCUUGAUCAGAGGCUUCUUCUCCCUUGAAGAAUAAUGAAUUAGGGUUGAGAGGCUCUCUCCUCCAGGGGCCAGGGGGUCUGGUUUUAUAGUCCCUUCAUGUGAAUAUGGGCCGUUGGAUCAAACCGACAUUGAUUGAACGGUUAUCCUUGAUCCUUUAGGUAGGUGGAGAUCUCCCACGGAGCAGAGUCCUGAUUGGACUCCCAGAGGGGGCGGGCGCCCAGGGCAGGAGGGCGGGCGCCCUGCCUCUGGCCCCGUUUCGCCUCCGCUUCGGUCUCGUGGCUUCUGGAGUCUUCUAGAUGUAAGAUAAUUGCGCGGCACGUUAAUAUCUCUAUGUAAUCCCGACAUGUGGGCCUUUCUUCUGUAUUUCCUGAUAACCCCCUGCAGAAAUAGACAAACACCAAAACUCGUGGAAUUCUGUCAGAUAAAACCCUAAGUCUAGAUGUUGAUUUCAUUUGGAUCCUUUUCUUUAUUUAUUUGAUAAUUAAAUUUGAUACUUAAGGACCGUCAAUAGGGUCGUCUUGAGCAGCCCGCCAUGUGUAGAUGCUUUUUAGGACGCGACAUUCCUCCAUCGUGUGGUUGGAUUUUGGAUGCAGUUAGCAUGGUCCCUUCAAAGUCUUGUUGUAGUCUUCCUGGUAGUCUCGCCGCCCAUUAGGACGUUUGACCGUUUUUACCUCGUGGUCGUGGUCGCGAGGGCGCUUGCCCCUGAAAUUGUCGCGAUUGUCACGCCGCCUGUCCCAGCCUUCUCUGUGGUCCCGAUUGUCGGGGCGACGAUGGUUCCUAUUGUCGAAGCGGCCGCGACUGUCGUCACGCCGAGGAGGCUGGUCGGGACCUCUGGCAUCAUCUCGGAUGAGUUUUUCUGUGUUGUCGGCGUCGGCAUAAUUUUUAGCCGCGGCGAGGAGCUCUGCCAUCGUUGUUGGCCUUUUGCGCAGUAGCUUGUUCCUCAGUGCUUCGUGGAAGCGCAGCCCUUUGAUGAAAGGAGAUAUGGCCUCGUCGUGGGAAAUCUUCGGGAUCUUAAGGCGCAUAUCCGAGAAUCAUCGGAUGUAAUCGCGCAGAGGCUCGUUUUUCCUGUCCCUUAUCCUUUCGAGGUCGUACUUGUUCCCAGGCUGCUCGCAGGUGGCGAUGAAGUUGUCGAUGAAAGCUUGGCGUAGUUGUUCCCAGGAGUCGAAAGAGUCCUCGGGCAGGCCUAGGAGCCACUGGUGACCAGCCUGGUCGAGGACUACUGGGAAGUAGUUGGCCAUGACGUGCUCAUCUCCUGCUGCUGAUCGGACGGCGAUCUCGUAAAGAGUGAUCCAGUUCUCUGGGUUUUCUUUGCCGUCGUAUUUUUUGAGUUUUUUGAGCUUGAAAUUGCGGGGCCACACGACUUGGCGGAGGUGUGAAGAGAACUGUCUCAAGCCCGGAGGACCGUGCGUUGCAUCGUACUCAAUGCGACGCAGGUUUUCGUGAACUGCUCUUUCCGUGGCGCGCCUGUUUAUGCGGUCCCGGGCGUCUUUGGGAGGGAUAUUGUAUCGGAGAUCCCUGUGCUGGUUUACUUCCAGACCACGCCUGCGAUUCUGUUCGCGGUAGCCGCCAGCGUCCCGACCACCAUUGUCACGCCGUGAAUUUUUUCGAUGAUCGUUAGGGGAACGGCUGCGGUGGUGGUCGCUGGGUUGUGGUGAGGUCCGGCUGUGAUGGGUCUGGUCGGAGGAGACCUCUGCAUAGGAGAUAGCUUGGACUCUUUUGAGCAGAGUGGCUGUCUGUCCCAUCGCGGCGAUCAGGUGUGCUCGAACGCUGGAUCGGACACCCUGGCAUUCGGGAGUAUCAGGGAGUCGAUCUAAAUUGGCCAUGGCGACGUCCACGUUGGCGCUUGGCGUUUUGUAGACUGGCUGAUCCCCGACCAUGUCGAAGGCGUCGGUGAGAUUAUGCGGUGGGAGUUGGCGUUCUUCGUCCGCACGUCGUCGGGCACGGUCGGCAUUGCGCUGCUCGCGGAGCUGCCUUUGCUCGUCUGUUUCUCCAUCAACGACCGGCUCGUCGGCGCUGACGUUGAAAACGAGGUCCCCUCGCCGGGGUGGGAAGACCGGGAAGCGAGAGAAACCCAGAGGAUAUGGUGGCAAAUCCAGGUCAUAGUCCUCGUCCUCGGAGUUCAUGACUUCAGUAGGAACGGAACCGGUGCUCGAAUUUGUGCUGGAAGCCUGGCCGUCCCGUAGUUCUCGGAUCGUCACCAUGUUGACGUAGUGACGAGUUGGUCGACCGCUUCACUUUGGCAACCAACCAGCCUUGUUGAAGAGGGAUUGGAUGUGCCACGAGUAGAGAGAGGCCGAGUUGUUCAGACCGCAAGGAUAACCUUGCUCUGGAUCAGCCUCGAGCUUAACGGACCAUACUGAGGGGGUGGAGGUUAUCGUCAGAGACGUUCCCAGCCGUUCGUGUGUGACGACACGAGUUGGCCGGUAGGAGUUGAAAAAACCCGUCGGUGCGGCUUGGUCAGGCUGACGCGAGAUCCCAUCUACUAGUCGGGAAGCUUCGAGAAGCUUCGAAUCAGCGCGAUCAAGGGCUCGGAGAAGAUCCGAGCCAUCGAUCUUCUUUUCCUUGUAGCGCGGAAGCGGUGGUCGGGUGCUCGGCGCCAGCAUCUGUGUGGUCGGAGCCGAUGCCGCCGUCAUCCCAGAUUGGAUCUGGGUUUCUUCCGAAACCGUGGUUGUGAGGCCACCGCCGCAACUCAUCCACGUGAUCUGGCCGACAGUGAACGUGAGGCCUUCAGGCACGGCCGCGGAAGCUGGAACGGUGACCAUCUUGUUCGCCGGAAAAGCUGGACGCACACCCCCUACCUGGCGCGCCACUGUCGACGAAAGCUAGUCGGCAGUCUACCUUAGGGUAUACCCACGGUAAUAGUUUAUCGGUAGACGGUGCGCAAGCAACGAACUCGAUGGUGACGCAAGACAAGGAUAAGCUUUUUAUCCAGGUUCGGCCGCCGAGCUGACGUAAUACCUACGUCCUGCGUCUUGUUGUAUUGAUUUGUGUUGAGAGAAUAAUGUUGUCCUAGGGGGUCCCUUGCCUGUCCUUAUAUAGUCCGGAGGGCAGGGUUACAGAUCUAGAAACUAAUCCUAGUCGGUUACAAUUGCCAUAGAUAGUUCGAUAUCAAUUCCUAUUUUAACCGACUAGAAUCCUGCUUGAUCUCCACGUCUUGUUUCCUUGCGCGAAACUCCGAGCUGUCGGAUCAAGCCUCGAACUUGUCUCGUAAUGGGCCAAGCCUCCUGGCCCAAGUCUAGCCGUAAGGGUAUAGGGGUUUAUACCCCCACAAUGGUGAAUAUCACGUAUAUCAUGAUUUUGGAGAUAAAUGAUGAUAAAUAAACAUAAUUUACGUUUAAAAAAUACACAAACAAAUUUUCUAUCAAAAACACCUACUUUAAGAUAUUAAAAUUAAAGAAUACAUUUUUGCAUUAACAAAAUACUAAUUAUUUUUCAUAUUUAAGUUUGCUAAUAUAAGAUAUGGAAAGAUUUUAUGUUUCCAAAUUUAUUAUGUAAGCAAUUAGACAAAAAGAAAUGCAUCUAUUAUUUUUUAACAAAUUAAAACCUAUUAUUCUAUUUACUAUGCAAUUAUUAAAAUUAUUCUAAUUAUUGUAAGCAAAAAUAAAUAAGAAACGGUUAAAACACCUUUAGUCCCGGUGCUCAACAACAAUCGGGACUAAAGGUAGCCUUUAGUCCCGGUUCCAGCUAUGAACCGGGACUAAAGGUCCCCGUGGGUAUUUAAGCACACAGUCGUCUUCAUCCUCCAGUGGGUAUUUAAGCACACAGUCGUCUUCAUCCUCCAGAUCGGUGUUGCCCUAGCCGUCUUCACCGCCGUCGCUCCCCGCGCUGCCUCCACAUCCUGCCCGAGCCACCGCUGCCUCCUUCUUCUCCGGCGUAGAGACUCUCCCGGACGAGCGCCGCCGCCGCUUCCUCGCCAGCCGGACGUCCGGCGCCGCCUCCUCGUCAUCCCCGAGCCGUACGUCGUCGUCGCGCCGCCGUGCCGCCUUCGAGCUUCUCCGGCGCCGCCUCCUCGCCCUCAUCGCCCCCGCGGCCACCUCCUCGCGCUCGUCAGAGCGCCCCCGCGGCCGCCUUCUCGCCCUCGUCAGAGCGCCCCCGGCCGUCUCCUCCUGGGCCAGAGAACGCCCGCGCCGCCGUCGUCGAGGGUGAGCACGUACACAGAGAAAAAAAUAAUUAUUGAUGAUGUGUUGUAUGAAUUGUUGAUUUGUUGUAUAAAUGAGAUGAUAUGUUGUAUGAAUGAGAUGAUUUUUGUGAAUUUUAUUUGAAUGAAAACUAUGAAUCUGUUCCCAAAUGUAUGAUAAAAAUCAUUUUAGUGAAUUUUAUUUGAAUCAAAACUAUAAUUUAAACUAUGAAUCUAUUGUGGCCCAAACGCAUGAUAAAAAUCAUUUUAGUAAAUUUUAUUUGAAUCAAAACUAUGAAUGUGUUCCCAAACGCAUGCCCACGAGAAGUACGUACCUCUCGCCAAAACGUACUCCUACAUCUACACUUGUUGUACUCCGAUCGACGAAACACAUGUGCUCACGAAACGUACACUUUUUAAAAAUCAAACAAUUUAAAAUUUUUAUGACAUUUCUAUAAAAGAUAUAAGUAUUAUUAGAUUAAUUAUUUAUAUAUUUUUAUACUAUAAAUUUACUUGAGACAUAAUUAAAAACCUUGUUGUGUAUAGUUGAACUUGAAUAUAGAUAGCACAAGUUACUUUAAUUUAAAUAAAAAUUGGAAUUUAUUCCAUUACUUUAAUUUAAAUAAAAAUUAGAAUUUAUUCCAUUACUAUCCUGUGUUGUAAUUAGUUAGUAGGGAUAGAUAUUGAGAUGAGAUGUAUAAUUUCUAUUUUAUAAUUUAUCUUUUGUAUUAUAUAACUUAUAUGAUAUAAUUUAUCCUGUUUUGUAAUUAGUUAGUAGGGAUAGAUAUUGAGAUGAGAUGUAUAAUUUCUAUUUUAUAAUUUAUCUUUUGUAUUAUAUAAUUUAUAUGAUAUAAUUUAUCCUUUGUUGUAAUUAGUUAGUAGGGAUAGAUAUUGAGAUGAGAUGUAUAAUUUCUAUUUUAUAAUUUAUAUUUUGUAUUAUAUAAUUUAUAUGAUAUAAUUUAUUCUGUGUUGUAAUUAGUUAGUAGGGAUAGAUAUUGAGAUGAGAUGUAUAAUUUCUAUUUUAUAAUUUAUCUUUUGUAUUAUAAUUUAUAUGAUAUAAUUUAUCCUGUGUUGUAAUUAGUUAGUAGGGAUAGAUAUUGAGAUGUGAUGUAUAAUUUCUAUAUUAUAAUUUAUCUUUUGUAUUAUAUAAUUUAUAUGAUAUAAUUUAUCUUGUGUUGUAAUUAGUUAGUAGAGAUAGAUAUUGAGAUGAGAUGUAUAAUUUCUAUUUUAUAAUUUAUCUUUUGUAUUAUAUAAUUUAUAUGAUAUAAUUUAUCCUAUGUUGUAAUUAGUUUAUGUUAGCCCUUAGUUGUAAUUAGUUUAUUGUUAUAUAUGUAUCAUGUAUAUAAAAGCUUAAUUAGUUUAUGUUAGCCCUUAGUUGUUGUAUCGAAUAUUUUCGAAACUAAACAAGUCUUUAGUUGUUGUAUCAAAUAAUUUAUGGAAUAAAAGCUUUAGUUGUAUCCAAAUAUUGUAGCCUAUCUAAAUAAUUUAUGUUGAUCGCGUCAAAAACUUUUAACACUUGAUUAAAUUUGCAGAAAUGGUCAAUCCGAAUGACAACAUGGAUGAUGCAAUGAUGGACCUAAUCAACAGUGGCGCCAAUCCAAAUCCCCAAGGCGAAGAUGAUGGGAGUCAGUACUUUGCUGAUUAUGAAGAACUUAUGGGAGACAAUCCUGAUGAGGUCUAUCUAUAAUCUAGUAUAUAUGUAUAUAUAUGAAGUUAAAAUAAAUGGCAUUUGUAUUAAUAUAUUUAUAAUUGUUUGAGUAGCUCUCUAAAUCGGCGACAACUUCUGAGAAGAGUAGAAAAGUGUGCAGCCCGAAGAAGCCGUUGGAGGGUCGGUAUAUUCUGUCAGAAUUCGAUGAGGGUACAGGACAAGUGCUUGGGGCCAAUUCUAAAAAAAUUUGUUGCGCACUGUGGGUACCUUGUAAGGGACAGGCUCCCGAUCAGUGCUCGUGAAUGGAGGCAACGAAAAGAUAACUCUAAUAUUAGUUUUGUCUCAGAUCGUGACAAGGAAUUGAUUUGGCUAGAUAUCCUUCAACAUUUCACGCUCGAUACACAAGAUGAAGCUUUGAAGGAGAAGGUUAAAAUCUGGGCUAUGCAGAAGAUGGCCAAACAAUUUCAAGCUUGGAAGAAGACAUUAUACAAGACUUUUGUUGCACAAGGCCGGACACCGGAUUUCACCAACAAGGCCUACGUCAAGUUGAGGCCUUUUUGGAUGAGUUCAUAGAGUUUAAGAACUCAGAAGAGGGUCAGGCAUGGAUGAUCAAGAAUCAAGAAAAUGCUAAACAAAAGCAAUAGCACCAUCACUUGGGUUAGGUGGCUAUAGGACUGCUAUUCCUAAGUGGCAAAAGCUGGAACAGGAGAUUCUUGGGGGAGAGAUCGAACCAGAAUCAAUGCACUGGCCUGAGCGCGCCAAGUAUUGGUUCUUCGGUCACGGGGGAACAAUAGACUUAGAGACUGGAAAGAUAGUGUAUGGCGAAAAGCUCGAGAGAGUAGGACAGAGAAUGGCCUAUGCUAGAGGAUUAGUUGAAAGUGGCACCUGGCAGCCAAAUAGAGAAAAGGAUGAGCUGACAUACGCCCUAGAGACUGAUGAACAUGGUGGGCAAACAAGAGUCUAUAGGGAGGUAUCGUGGGAGCAUGGCUUCCCUAAAGAUGGACUGACUUAUAGAAGCCGCCAAAGAAAGAAGGAAGAGGAAGCGGAGCGGUUGCGUAGGUUGGAGGCAAUGGUGAUGGAGUCACGUGAAGCCGCUCGUGAAGCGAUAGCGCGAGAGAAAGCGCUUGAAGAGAGAAUGAACGAGGAGAUCAAAAGACAAGUGCAGAUGGCAGUAAGUUCUAUACAAGGGCAAACUGCAUCAGAGCCUAGAGUCAACAUUAGCCCCCCCCGAUCAAUUGAAAAGCAGUUGCGCUUCCACGGAGAUGCCAACUAUUAAAGAUGACGUGGGGCUACACUUUCCGGUGGAUGACAUCACUGAACCUCUGACAACAUGUGAGCUGCACAUUCCACAGGGGACUGCCACAGUCAUGGUUGUUGUCGCUGUUGUAACUCCUGUCGACCCUACAAAGACACCAAGAAUCCAUGGGGCGAUAGUUCCACCUGGAUAUGCUAGUGUCUCGGUGGAUAGAGUUGUCAAAGGCUUCAGUAAUGUGCAGCUUGAGAUAGAAGGAGGUGACGGAGAGAAGACUCUAGGAGAAGCAGAGAAGACUUUUAUUUGUUGGCGCAAGCGCUACAUCAUUAAUCCUGGGGCAUCACCUAGUAGUCUAUCACCACCUCCUCGUCAUGAAUCUAAUUCUAGGUGCAGAUGAAAAUUGACUAUACAUUUGUUCACUUACUUUAUUUUGCAUUCUCUUAGUUAGCGAUUUACUCAUAUACCUUUUGGUUUCACAGGUGGUCACCAACAUGUCAUAGUGUUGCGGGUGAUGACGAGGGAGUGCAAGACACGGCUGCAUCGCUUCGGUCUCCAACGACACCACCUCAGGCUACAACGCCACCACCUAGGGCUCCAACACCGCCACCUCGGGCUCCAACACCACCACCUCAAGCUCCAACACCGCCACCUAGGGCUCCAACGCCACCUCCUCGGGCUCCAACACCUACACCGGCCGCCCCGUCGCCUCCACACGUGGCUCCAGCACAAAAGAAGAGGCCGGCCACACAAUCAAAUGUGUCAGCCGCCCCGCCGCCAAAAAAGAAAGCCUCCGAAAAGAAACAAGCUAUCAUUCCUAAGAAGCUGGUCUAUGAGAUGACUGAUGCAGAACUAAAUGCUUUAGUAAAAUCAGACGUGGAUAGUUUCUUCAAGAAACUUAAGACUGAAAGAGAAGCCAAGCGAAACCCUGAGAAACCAUACCUCUUACUACGGCCAGAAGAUCUACGACAAAGGAUUGAGGCUCAACAAAAAAAGAGGCAUGAAGCUCAGAAAGAAUCAUCAUCUUUAUCGGACUACGAUCGCACUUUAAGGACAUCCAUAGAAGAAGAGAAGAAGAAAGAGAAAAGAGCACGCAAGGGUGUAGCAUAGCUCGGGGAACAAUAAAAGUAAUCAGUGCCCUGCUAGUAAUUGGAAAUGAAUAUGGUUCGAACAUUGACGUGCUAGACCGGCAGAUACCGGCAGAUUUAAAAUUUGAUGAGCUUGAAAAUUUUUUUGCAGAAACUGGUCUUAGCUUAGCCCAAAUGAUAGCUGGGGCACCAAUUGAAAGUGCUCUAGAAAUUGAUCAUUGGCAGAAGGAAUAUACAUAUGGCAAGAGUUUAUACAACCCUGCGGCCCUCAGCAAACUUGGAACGCAAAUGUACAUGCUAAACAAAUGGUACAUGGCAGCGUGUGUCAGAAAAGCAGAUGACUAUCUUUGUGUCCGAAUUAGAAACUAUCAUUACUUCCGUGGUGAUGAUAUUAUUUAUGUUCAAUUUAAUGAGCUACACCAACUAUUUCACAUGGACGCUCUUGACAAAUCUCGAAUGAGUUGCUUCUGUCUGUAAGUGAUUCUUUCUUUCAAUAAUGUCACCGUAACUUAUCAUGUAUAUAUAUAACUAAUUAUAGAAACCCGCUAUACAUAUGUAGAAACAUGAUGAGGGACCUCAGAGUUAGAAAUGACAAGGAGAUUGGAUUUGUGGAUCCAAAUGUUGUAUUCAAAGACCACAAGACCCCGUAUGUCUUAUGGAGAACUCAAACGGAGAGAAAUCUAUGGAGGUUCUUGAUCAACCAAAAAGAUAAAAGAUAUAUACUCUUUCCCUACAACUUUAAGUAAGUGUCGUUAUCGUGUGUACAUUCUAUUUAACUAAUUAAUCAGAUCAGUAUGAAGAUAUAUACUAAUUUUGCCUACAUAUGCACACAAAUGCAGCUUUCAUUGGAUACUAAUUGUCAUUGAUCUCUGGCAAUGUCAAUUGCUAAUCUAUGUGUUGGUGCAAAAGCUGAUCUACAAACACAAAGGGCUAAUACCCGAUUCAAACGUUAAGGCGUGCCAGCUGAUUUGACCUUACUAUCGGCAAAGGUGGUAACUCGAAUACUUUAGUCCUGACAACAGCGAUGCGCCCGGAUGUCACGGCUAAGAGGUACUCACGCGGAACUUGAGAACACGCCGAGCUUAAGUCGAUGAAUUCCUAAGAACUCGUAGUGAAAAGGAAAAAGUAUGACGAAGUCGUCGAAAAAGUAGGUGCUAGAAUAUGAGUAAAAACGUGUGUUUGAUUGAUUGAUAGAUGCUUCAUUACAAGGCCCUAGGGUCUAUAUUUAUACCCUGUUCAAAGAGCUACAACCAGACACGACUAGAAUUCGAAUUCCAAAUUACAUAGAAUCCGUAUGCAAAACGAUUUAAAUAACUAAGGAAAAUAUAAAGCUAUCCCCUCGUGACAAACUGGAACAUCUCCACAAACCGAUCGGCAACUCCCGGACUCUCCCUCCGUAUCAUCAACAGACUCCCUUGUCAUAAUCAUCGGCAGACUUCCUUAUCGUAGCCAUCGGCACAGACACAUCACCAUCUACAGACUUAGUCACGUUCAAUCUCUCCUUCAUCGGCAACCACCCUCAUCGGCAAUUCAUCCUGUAGACAAAACACCAUCGUCUUAUCCUGCCGGCCUGUACUCUACCAAACAUGGACACGUGCCCAAAAAACGGUGUCAACACAUGCCCCCCAAUUUCGGAGUAUGAAAUCGUUAAUGCUUCGAAAUUCUCUGCAGUAAUGAUGCCUUUUCCCGCAAUUAAUGCUUCUAUCCUGGUAACCGACAACCUCAAUCUGAACAACUCUGACCCUGUUCUCUUGUAAAUCCCUUAAAAUCCUCAACUUCCCAAACGGACAUUUCCUUUUCGGUCGCACAUCGGCAAUAUUACCGUUGCAAAGAUUUGCUGAUAGACUGACCAGGAUACUCGUACCUUAUCUCCCCAAACGGCUAUCUCCACUUUAUUUGCCCAUCGGCAAUAUGACCGUUACAACACAAUCCCUUGAUUACCGUGCAAACAGUUACCAUAUCUACCAUGAGCACCCUCGGAUUUCUCGGAUGCGGCAAAGAGAUAAGUCAGAUUUACCCCUGCCCGUUUUGUCUUAUAAGUAGUUCCUUCUCGGGUACUCCUUCUCCAUCACAUCAUUCUACAACUCCAACCUCACCUUUCCAGCGGCGGCGCUAUUCCAAAAAGCUCCAAGAUCUCCGACUAGGCUCCUUCCUCACCAACUCCAAAACUCUCAAUCUUCUCCUCUGUGGAAAAAUGGCCGUCAACUUCAUCAUCCCCGAGGUCAGUUCUUCGCACCAUCUCUUGUACUUUUCUCGCACCCUCGUUCAUCUGCAAUCCGCCGUACUGAAUAUUUUUUCCCUUCUCUUUUUUUUUGUUUUUUUUAUACCUCCAAAACCAUUAGGAAUCGGCUAACAAAAUUGUCAUCCCAACUGAUCGACCACAUCUCCAAUGCCUUGGCCCGUUAGGGGAUCCAGAUCCAACCGAUCUCAUAAACGCAGAAACCAACAGGAUCCCUUUCAGGGCAGAGAACUUUUCCUUGGAUCUGUGGAAGGACACUUUUCGUUCCUGGCCCAGCCCUACCGUGGGGUGGACAGAUUGGUUUCUGAGAGUCAACAACUCGAAUGAAGUCGAAUGGGGUGAAAGAAAUCUAGCCCAAUGCAUUAGGUUGUCUAUUGCCGAUAUGCAUAGGAACGAGUCACUGCUGAUAGCUGCAUCAUACUUCUGGUCAGACACGCUCAAUGCCUUUGUCUUUGGCCAUGGCCCUGUUUCCCCCACUCUUGCCGAUGUGGCUAUGCUCACCGGGUUAGAUAUUUCUUCUGCCGAUAGCACCCACUUCUUCGAUACUAAACCCAGUGCUAAGGUAGAAACCCGCGCCAUCGGCGGCUGGUCAGGGUAUAUCCAGAAAUACCGCAAAACAGGCCCUGUUGACGCAAAAGAGCAGACCUGCUUCUUGAACAUGUGGCUAGACAAAUUCAUGUUUUGUGGCCGAUCGGCAGGACCAACUUCUGUUCAUCUAGCAGCAGCGGAAAAUCUGGCCAAUGGUGGCCGAUUUCCCCUUGGCCGAUACCUACUUGGAGCGGCCUAUCACCUCCUCCAUCAAGUAACUAAGAAGCUCUUGCUUGGCCAGUCUAUCGGCAACAUGGGAGGCCCCUGGUGGUUUAUCAAUAUGUGGCUCAAUCUGCAUCUGCACAAGCGCCUUCAAUUUAACCUGUUCACAUAGCGUUUCCCAAUGGACAUAACCGAAAAUCAUGUGUUGGGUGAGGAGGAAUCUGCAAUACGUGCUCCCUUAAACUUCGGCGAGGCUGUCAUAGUUUUGCCUGGUUCAGGGGGUAACCCAGAUCAGGUCAGCCGAUUCUUCCAAACUCUGUAUGAGGGCUUGGCCAGAGAUGAGCGAGCAUGGUUAGCCUAUGAUGACCCAGACAGUAUGCUUCCCUUGGUUUUCAACCCAUUUGAUGAAGCUCUUGACCGGGAUAAUGAAGUGAUGAUAGCAAUAGUGACUCCCAGAGCCAUACCAGUGAAUUUCUUUGGUAGUGGGAAAACCUCCCCUCAGACUUAUGAAUUUUACAACCCAUCGGCACUAGCCCGUCAGUUAGCUUUCGGCCAGCUGCCGAUCGCGCUCUGCUACGCCGAUGUGAUAAAGCCCAGGGAAACCAUCAACAGUCUCCUUGAAUGGAUCUGAGUAGCCCAACUGCCAUCGAGUGCCGAUACAGACGUGGAUUUAUCAGAGUGGGUUCCAGCCGCUUUCAUCACUCAGGCAUACAAACAGUGGUGGGCAGAAUGGAAGGAGCAUCUGUUCUGUAAAUCGGCCCUCACGUACCGCGGCAAGAUUGACCCCGAGUACGAAGUUCCCAAUGACACUGUAAGUGUUUUCGAACCAAUGUUUCAAUUCUUUCAAUCCUAUUUCUAUUGGCAAUUUACUUUUGAACUUUUCUACAGGUUGAUGAUACCCCUCCAUCGGUCAGUAAAAGUGGCAAGCCGAUUGAUCUAUUUGCAUCAGGCCCAAUCUCUUCAAUCGGCCACAACGCUCCUACCUUGGCUUCCAUCGUGCAUCGAGGUAUACGCCUGAGGAAGGUCACCACCAGGAAGACCCAGACUUCACCAUCGGUAGCUGCUUCCGCCCUAGCACAGGCUUUUAAGGUAACUGCUAACCCUCUUCAUUUAUACCGAUCUUUACCUUUACAUCGGCUACACUUGUAUUCACAAAUCCCUCUUUGCUGUUACAGCAAACCAGUGCAUCGGCAAAAACCAAGAGCCAAGGUGCGGAUGCCCCCCAGUCCAGCCAGCAGAAGAGAAAGGGUGCCAAGAGUACCAGGGCAGAAACAAAGCGCCAGAAAGUGGCAACUCCUCCUCCUCCUCCUCCGGUAUCUCCCAUUCCGGUGGAAUCUUCCCCUUCUCCUCCAGACGUAGAGAUUCAGCAAGCACCAUCUCCCCCUCCAACGCAAGAAGCACCACAGGUAGAAGAAACUCAACUAGAAGGACCCCAACAAGAAGUACCUCAGCCAGAAGACACAUCGGCUGACGUUCAUGAACCAACCACCGAUCCAGCAGGUUUCAUUAUAACAUCGGUGGUUUCCUCCAUUCAGACGAGUACCGUCCUUCCUCAAUGUAACAUAUUUGCAAAGUUAAUACCGACGAACCCAUCUUUUCAUCUCAUAAUGACUUUUAAUUUCCAGCUGACGUCGUUCCAUCGGCAACUUUGGCCGAUCAAUCUGUAGCUCCAUCGGCAUCUCUAACCGAUCAGCCCACGGCUCCAUCGGCAUCUUCCAGUCAAAGGCAAGAGAUUGCCUUGAAGCAAGUAAGUUAUCCAGCUCCCAUCAAUAUUUUUACCGACAUUUUGUUCAUGGACUGACUCACUUUAUUUUCCUUUUCAGGAGCAGGACUCUCCUGACAGCCUAUUCUCUUUUGCUAUUGACAUCUCCGAUGAUGAAGGCGAGGAAGCGAGCUCUUCCCGGGCAGUUGGGAUCGCAUCGGCAGAGAUCAGAGCCAAGCUGGAAGAACUAUCGGCUCGCCUUCAUCAGGAUACGGCACAACUGGUCGAUGACUCCGACCCAGCCAAGGUUCUGUUCAGGACUCUCAGAGGCCAGAUUCCAGCCGAUGUCGAAGAAAUCCUCUUCCAAGCUGCACAUCUGGAGAGUCGUCAGCUGCAGUACCAGAGGGCUUCUCGGCGCCUUGCCGACAGAGCUGCUCAGACCCAGCUUUCUGAAGAAAUGAUGAAAGAGAAGCUCUUGACCGAUGAGAAGCACAAUAACAUCGGCACCUUGAGAUCUUCAGGAGACGCGCUGAAGCAGAAGAUUUCUGACCUAUCGACAAAAAGAGAAGCCCUGCUGGUGGAACUCAAGCGAGUGGAAGACGCCUUAUCCCAAGCUCAACAGGAAGAGAGCCAACUUCCAGAGACCAUCAAGCUCCUUGAGCAAGAACGAAACAUCCACGGGCGCAAGGCACUGCAGUUGAAGAAAAAGCUGAAACCGAUAGAAGGCUCCGCCGAUGACGAUAUUAGGGAGAUAGAGGCAGCCAACCAAAUCCAGCUGCGCGCCAUAUCAGCAAUCCAGGCGCUGCUGAACGCAUGAAACUCCCAUUAGCGACACAUCUUUAUUCCUCUGCACCUCCAGUUUCUUUGCUGUUUUAAUCUAGCCGAUAGGAUUGUUAUCGGCAACUUUUGAAACACUAAGUUCGGCCUCAGAUACAUUUUAAUCCAGCCGAUAGGAGUGUUAUCGGCACUUAAAUCUUCAUGCAUCGACCCAUAUACUGGGGUAGUAUUUCUUUAAAUAUUUGCCAUUUAACGCUCUGGGAAACUCAACUCCUUCGAGAGUUUCUAGAAUGUAGGCGUUACCAGGAGCCGAUCGACUUAUCCGAUAGGGACCUUCCCAAUUAGGAGACCAUUUUCCAAAUUUUGAACUUUUAGUCCCGAUCGGUAAGAUUAAUUUCCACACUAAGUCUCCAUCGGCAAAUUCCUUAGCCCUUACUUUCUUAUCGUACCAUCUAGCAACCCUUUUCUUAUUUUCUUCUAUGUUCAUCAAAGCUUUUAGCCGAUACCCUGCUAGAUCAUCCAACUCGUCUGUCAUCAAAGUAGCAUAAUCAUCGGCAGCUAACUGAUCCUGAAAAGAUAGCCACCUAGACCCAGCCUUAAUUUCCCAAGGCAAUACCGCAUCAUGUCCAUACACCAAUUGAUAAGGUGCAACCUUAGUUGAUCCAUGACAAGCCAUGCGAUAGGACCAUAAGGCUUCGUUUAACAAUGCGUGCCACCUUCUAGGAUUCUCUUCGAUCUUCCGUGUAAUAAGCUUAAUAAUUCCUUUGUUGGACGCCUCGGCCUGCCCAUUGGCUUGAGCAUAGUAAGGAGAAGAAUUCAAUACCUUAAUCCCCAUACCGAUUGCGAAUUCAUCAAACUCCCCUGAUGUAAACAUAGUACCCUAAUCGGUAGUAAUUGUUUGAGGGAUUCCAAAUCGGUAAAUGAUAUGCUCCUUCACGAAAUCAAUCAUAUUGGCCGACGUGACCUUCUUUAAAGGAAUGGCUUCAACCCAUUUGGUGAAAUAAUCAGUGGCAACCAAAAUAAACUUAUGCCCCUUGCUAGACGGUGGAUAAACUUGGCCGAUCAGAUCAAUAGCCCAUCCCCGGAACGGCCAAGGUUUGAUAAUAGGAUUCAUGGCCGACGCGGGUGCUCUUUGAAUAUUGCCAAACUUUUGACAUCCUUGACACCCUUUGAAAUAUUUAAAGCAAUCUUCAAGUAUGGUUGGCCAGUAAUAUCCAUUCCUCCUAAUCAUCCACUUCAUCUUGAAAGCCGACUGGUGUGCUCCACAUACCCCUUCAUGGAUUUCUCCCAUCAAACUUCUAGGUUCAUCAUCACUCAAGCACCGAAGAAGAAUUCCAUCAAUAGUUCGGUAGUACAAUUCAUCUUCGAGGAGCACAUACUUGGUGGCUUGAAACCGAACCCGUCUCUCAACUUUCUUGGACGGAUCUUUCAAGUAAUCAACGAUUUCUUUUCUCCAAUCAUCGGCACCAAUUGCCGAUAUUGCAUUAAUUAUAGGCUGAUAUCCCGAAGCAUGCUGAGCCAACCGAUUCGCCUCUUCAUUAUGCAAUCGAGGAACAUAUUCUAAUCGGAAAUCCUUGAAUUCCUUUAACAAUUGCAUACUCUUCUCGUAAUAAGUUAUGAGAACUUCACUUCGGCAUUCGUAGCUCCCAGCUAAUUGAUUUAUAACUAGCAUAGAAUCCCCGAAGACCUCAACAGCAUCAGCAUGAACCUCUCUCAACAACUCUAAUCCCUUUAUUAAAGCUUGAUACUCAGCCUGAUUAUUUGUUGAUGUAGCAACAAUCGGCAAGGAAAAUUGAUACUUCCUUCCCCGAGGGGAAACUAGUAUUAUGCCGAUUCCCGCCCCCCGGUCACAUGUAGACCCAUCAAAGAAAAGCGUCCAAGGCACAAUUUCUAAAGCCUCCACUGUGCCGCAAUGCUGGGUUACAAAAUCGGCUAUAAUCUGUCCCUUAACUGCCUUAGCAGAUUCAUAAUGCAGAUCGAACUCCGACAGCGCUAAAAUCCACUUACCGAUCCUACCACUCAUAAUCGGCAUGGACAGCAUGUACCGAACCACAUCAUCUUUGCAAAUAACAGUGCAUUCGGCCGAUAGCAAGUAAUGCCUCAACUUGAUGCAAGAGAAAUAUAAGCACAAACACAAUUUUUCAAUAGCCGAAUACCUGGUCUCAGCAUCAAUCAACCUCCUGCUUAAAUAAUAAAUUACACGCUUUUCCCUUCAAACUCCUGAAUCAAAGCCGAACCGAUGACCAUCCCAACGGUAGACAAAUACAAUCUGAAGAGCUUUCCUUGCUGAGGUGGAAUUAGAACUGGAGGAUUUACUAAAUAAUUCUUGAUUUCAUCCAGAGCCAACUGUUGUUCUUUUCCCCAAACAAAAUCUUGAUCGGCCUUUAACUUAAGAAGAGGACUGAAAGCACGAAUUUUACCAGAUAAAUUAGAUAUAAAUCUUCUGAUAAAAUUUACCUUGCCGAUCAAGGAUUGGAGCUCGGUCUUGUUGGUAGGGGCCACUAUCUUAUCGAUGGCAUCGAUAGAUCUUCGACUUAUCUCAAUCCCCCUUUGAUGCACCAUGAAACCAAGAAAUUGUCCCGCCGAUACACCGAAUGCACACUUAUUGGGAUUCAUUUUCAAACCAUGCUUCCUUGUGCACUCUAACACCUUUCGCAAAUCGGCAAGAUGUUUUGCGAAAUCUCCAGACUUAACCACCACAUCAUCAAUAUAAAUCUCCACCAGCUUACCGAUGAACUCGUGGAAAAUAAAAUUCAUGGCCCUUUGAUAUGUAGCAUCAGCAUUCUUUAGGCCAAAGGUCAUGACUAUCCAUUCAAACAAUCCAACAUGACCGGGGCACCUGAACGCAGUCUUCGGGAUAUCUUCUUCAGCCAUGAAUAUUUGAUUGUACCCUGCAUUGCCAUCCAUAAAGCUAAUGAUCCGAUGCCCAGCCGCGGCGUCAACCAACAGAUCGGCAACUGGCAUUGGGUAUCCAUCCAUUGGCGUAGCUUUAUUGAGAUUCCUGAAAUUAAUGCAGACCCGAAGCUUCCCGUUCUUCUUGUAGACCGGAACAACGUUGGAAAUCCACUCGGCAUACCGACACUGCCGAAUAAACUUAGCUUCAAUAAGUUUGGUGAUUUCGGCCUUCAUAUCAGGGAGGAUGUUAGGAUUACAUCAGCGAGCUGGCUGUUGAUGUGGCCGAAAUCCAGACUUGAUAGGCAACCGAUGUUCAACAAUUGAUCGGUCCAAACCGGGCAUUUCAGUAUAAUCCCAAGCAAAGCAAUCUUUAUAUUCCUUUAACAAAUCGGUUAACUGUUGCUUACACUCAGAAUCUAACUUAGCACUAAUAAAAGUGGGUCUAGGUUUAUCACCACUACCUAUAUCUACUUCUACCAAAUCAUCGGCCGAUGUGAAUCCCUGGCCUAACUUUCCAUCAUCGGCGAACCUAUCCAUUAAAAACCUUCGUCAGAACCGACUGCUUGGAUCGGUGGAAUCUCGUAAUCGGCAACCUUGAGAAAAUCCUUCUCCCAAACUUCUCCUGAAAUACACCUAGUCCUUUCAUAGGUGUCUGCCUCUGCCGAUGCAAUGACAUAAGAAGAAUCUCCCGGGAUAAUCUCAAUUUUGUCUCCUACCCACUGAACCAAGCAUUGGUGCAUUGUAGACGGGAUGCAACAAUUAGCGUGAAUCCAAUCUCUUCCCAAUAGCAAGUUGUAAGCACCCUUUCCACUGAUCACAAAGAAGGUUGUUGGCAAGGUUUUGCUGCCGAUGGUCAACUCUACACAUAUUGCCCCCUUGACUGGAGACACGUUCCCUUCAAAGUCUUUAAGCAUCAUAUCGGUCUUGGUCAAAUCCUGAUCCCCUCUCCCAAGCUUCCAAUAUACUGCAUACGGCAUGAUGUUAAUAGCAGCCCCACCAUCAACUAGAAUCUUGGUCAUCGGCUGCCCAUCAACCCUCCCUUUGACGAACAAAGCCUUGAGAUGUUGUCUUUCGUCAUCGGCAGGUUUCUCGAAAAUAGCCGUCAUCGGAUCCAGAGCCAAUUGAGCUAUUUGGUCGGAAAAUUCCAACUCAUCAUCGCUAGAUGGCGCAAGAAACUCCAUCGGCAACAUAAAGACCAUGUUGACAUCUGCCGAUGGACCUUCCCCCUCGCGAUCUGAUUGCUGCUGAUCUUCAGACUGACUAGAGUUCUCACCCUUGCUUAGCCCUUCUCGCCUUUCGCGCUGCAACCUCCUUUUCUGUGUCUUGGUCAACCCCUCUGGACACCAUGGAGGAAGCGGUCUUUGCCUUGCUGCUGGGCGAUGAUUUUCCCUUGACUCCAUCCGAUGCGUAUUGGCAUCCCUGCAAAAUAUGAAUUCGUCGGGAACUCGUGCAUUAGCCAUCUCCUCAAGUUCUUCCUGGUUCCUAGGAAAAUACUGGACACGAUCACCAAGCCUGUCGUGUACAUUGAGUCUGCCCCCCAGCCGAUCAUGGACGGAUGCUCUCCCUCUAAUCGGCCCAUUGAAGCGCCGAUCAUUAUCACGAUAGUUCCGAUCGGACCUGUCGUACCGAUCGUAACCGUUGCAUUCAGGGCAAUCUCUGACAGUAGGAAGCUUGAUAUUCUCUUCCCAGCAAUGGAUGAAGAACAGGCAAUUCUAGUGAUCCCUAUGCCGAUUCCACUCAUGUCGGCGUCUUUCCUCUUCCCGACGAUAAUCUUCUUGCUGGCGCCAGUACCGAUCUUCUCGUUGCUGCCAAGUUUCCCGAGGUCUUCUGUGAGUUAUUACAAUUCCAGAUCAGGGAGGCCUUCCUGAGCUGGUUCCUUCCUGGACCAAGCCCCUUCCCUUCGCAUCGGCAGUAGUGACUUGAUGCUGAGGAUCCACCCAUGCACUUCUUUCGGCUGCUUCUGAGGUUAAGACCUUGGCUUUUCCCUUAGCAUCCAACAUGUUCGUUGGGAAAGGAUGUUGGUCAAUCUUCAUCGGCUUCUGGGUCUUGGAGUUAUCCAAUUUGAUUCUCCCAGAUUCUAUAGCCGAUUGCAGUUGUUGUCUGAACACCUUGCACUCGUUAGUGUCAUGAGAAGUUGCAUUGUGCCAUUUGCAAUAUUUUAUCCUUUUCAAUUCUUCAGCCGAUGGGAUCACGUGAUUAGGUGACAGUUUCAUCUGACCUUCCUGGAGCAGAAAGUCGAAUAUCCUAUCGGCUUUAGCAGUGUCAAACGCAAAUUUCUCUGGUUCUUUAUGUCCAAAAGGACAAGACAUCGGCUUUUUGUUUUUCACCCACUCUGCCAAGCCGAUGACUGGUUCCUCAUCAGAAUCCGAGCUUGUUGCUUCAUCAACGAACGACACCUUUUUGUUCCAUGCUCUCUUGGGUUCAAACGGCUUGAUGUCUUGAUCAGAGAUCCUUUGCACCAGAUGACUUAAGCUUUCAAACUCCUGAGAUGCAUAUUUGUCCCUGAUGUGUGGCAACAAACCCUAGAAAGCCAAAUCGGCUAGCUGCCGAUCGUCCAGAACCAGACUAUAGCACUUGUUCUUGACUUCCCGUAUCCUCUGUACAAAACCCUCAACCGAUUCAUCAUUACACUGCCUUAAUUUGACCAAAUCGGUGAUCUUCUUCUCAUGGACCCCAGAAAAGAAGUAUUUGUGGAAUUAUUUUUCCAGAUCGGCCCAAGUAAUCACUGAGUUGGGAGGUAGUGAUAUAAACCAGGUAAAAGCCGACCCAGACAAUGAUGACGAAAAUAAAUGAACCCUCAAUUCGUCCCUGUUACCAGCUUCACCGCACUGAAUAAUGAAUCUGUUGACGUGCUCCAUGGUUGACGUAUCAUCCUGCCCAGAAAACUUAGUGAAAUCCGGUACCUUGUACCGAUGUGGAAGCGGGAUCAAGUCGUAUGCAGGAGGAUACGGUGUCUGAUAAGAGUAAGUAUUGACUUUGGGUUUUAUCCCGAAUUGGUCUCUCAUUACUUCAGCAAUCUUAUCGGCCCAGUAUGCAUCGGCAUCUUGCCGAUGGGGCGGUUGCGGAUCAGGUGCCUGCUGGUAGGCCUCCACGUGUCUGUUCGGUGCACGAUCUGCACGGAACAUUGGGUUGAUCAUCUGGCCUCCAACCUGUGGACCACCAAGCUGUUGCCCGCCAAUCUGCUGUCCGACGAGCUGCUGCCCGAGAUUCAUUGGCUGGUUAGGGAUCCCCUGAUUCUGGAACCCGGGAUAGAUCUGUCCUUGCUGGAACCCUGUAGCCUGGUGACUCUGUUGGGGUGUUUGCGGAAAGACUUGCUGCCCAAGCCAUCCAUUAUUAGCGUUCAUCGGCAUAGGCCCUGCCGAUGACUGGUAAUUGGGCAUCAUCAUUGAAUUGACAUACCCUGAUUGAGCCAUAGACCUCUGUUGCAUCAGCAUCGAGUCUGCCGAUGCGUUAGGCAUCUGGAACAUUGGAGCUUGAGAAUUCCCAGUGUGAGGUCUUGCAGUAGUAGUUAUAGUAUACUGGGGACUCUGGUUCAUCGGCAUAUUGGGAGGUGCCGAUGCCAUAGGAGUCUUGCCUCUCAUAUCAGUCGUCUGCGAUGUACCCGGCGUUAACUCUAGAGGCAUGCCAUAACCCCACCAGUUGGGAGGAGGGGUUAACCCCGUCAUUGCCGAUGCUAACAGAUCUGUGGCAAGUUUAAUCUGCCCAUCCGAAGUCUGCGGAUUAGUUGUCAUCGGCAUAGACUGUCCAUUGGUGACUCCUAACGUGCUUGGUGGAACUGGAAUCUCCAUACCCGCAGCGGCCGUAGCAGCCGAUGGAGCUGUGACCACUGGUGACUUUGGCUGGUGAUAAGUGGGGCCCACAUAAUCUGGUGGCAGUUGUCCCUCCUUGAAAGUUCUCGCCACGGCAUUGAAAACCGUAUUAGACAGUACACCAGCUUGAUUGAUCAAAGCGCGGUUGAUCGCGCUGUCAACCAUCUCUUGAAGCUUGCCAGGAUUGGACUCAAAAGUAACCUGCCGCGGAGCCGGCAGUGCAUCCUUCUGAAUCACCUCACCGCUCCUGUUCAUGCUGAAGGACCUCAGGCAUUGCUGCUUGUAAUCCUCCAUGGCUUUAGCAAUAGCUUGCUUCUGCUCAUCCUUGAGAUUGGCUUCCGUCACGGGGAUGACGUUCUCUUGAUCAAACUCAGAAGUCGACAUGUUGAUCUUGAUCUUGAAUCUGUCCCACUGGGCGUGCCAAAAGAUGUGUUGGUGCAAAAGCUGAUCUGCAAACACAAAACGCUAAUACCUGAUUCAAACGUUAAGGCAUGCCAGCCGAUUUGACCUUACUAUCGGCAAACGUGGUAACUCGAAUACUUUAGUCCUGACAACAGCGAUGCGCCCGGAUGUCACGGCUAAGAGGUACUCACGCGGAACUUGAGAACACGCCGAGCUUAAGUCGACGAAUUCCUAAGAACUCGUAGUGAAAAGGAAAAAGUAUGACGAAGUCGUCGAAAAAGUAGGUGCUGGAAUAUGAGUAAAAACGUGUGUUUGAUUGAUUGAUAGAUGCUUCAUUACAAGGCCCUAGGGUCUAUAUUUAUACCCUGUUCAAAGAGCUACAACCAGACACGACUAGAAUUCAAAUUCCAAAUUACAUAGAAUCCGUAUGCAAAACGAUUUAAAUAACUAAGGAAAAUAUAAAGCUAUCCCCUCGUGACAAACUAGAAUAUCUCCACAAACCGAUCGGCAACUCCCGGACUCUCCCUCCGUAUCAUCAACAGACUCCCUUGUCAUAAUUAUCGGCAGACUUCCUUAUCGUAGCCAUCGGCACAGACACAUCACCAUCUACAGACUUAGUCACGUUCAAUCUCUCCUUCAUCGGCAACCACCCUCAUCGGCAAUUCAUCCUGUAGACAAAACACCGUCGUCUUAUUCUGCCGGCCUGUACUCUACCAAACAUGGACACGUGCCCAAAAAACGGUGUCAACACUAUGACCCGUUGAGAAAACCACAGGACGAUUACCAAGAAAUGAUAGAUAUUAUCCAAGGGUAACUCUGAUCUCUAUAUAUUAAAUUCUGCUCUUUUAACUUGAUAAUAGAUAAUUAAUAAUGAUUGUUUUAUUGCUAGGGUUUGGGCUGGGUUCGUGCAGAAACACCGUCCAGAGUUGAAUGCAGCACUUUCAAAGCCCAUCUUACUUCAGUGGGUUCUACAGCAGACACCGGGCAACAAUUUGUGUAGCUACUAUGUGUGCGAGUUUAUGACGGUCUAUGCCAAAAGAACUAAUCUUGAGCACCUAAAAGUAUGUAACAUGUAUAUAUAAUAAGUUUAUUUUAUUUAUUUGUUGCUAUUUAAUAAAUCUUAUUCAUACCUCUAACUUUUUUCUUUAAUAUCUAUUAAAGGAGAUGUGGCUGAAGGAGUAGUGUUGGAUGCGGUGCGCCUAAAAGGAAUUCAGAAGACAAUCGCAGGAUUUCUUAACGACCAAGUUCUGAAUUCCGGCGGCGAGUGCUACUUCAACCCUCAGGAGCCAAUGAAACCAAAUCAUGAUGAUCAUUUGUACGAUGCUUGAGUGGAGGAGAUAAAUUAUGUUGUAAAUACUUUGUCCAUGAAGCAUAUGUGUAAAUAUUAUAUUAUGGACCUAUAGAUACAUAUAAUAUAUAUAUAGUGUUUUAUAGUAUAUUUAUAUGUAAUGCUUUAAAUUAUAUAAAUUAUAGGUGUGCGUUCCAUAAACACCACUCCAGAUGAGUUUUGUCCCGUCGGCUGGGAGCACUCCCAGCGGCUGCGCGUUCUCGGUCAGAAACGCAGAAGCAUUCCCGACGUUGCCGCUGGACCGUGCUGAAAAGUCUCUCCCGUCGGUGCCUGCCGUCAGGGGCAGAUUUUAGGGCCUUCCCCGCGCACAAUCCAGAGCUUCGCGCCCUCGCGAAUGCUUUUGGCGCGCCGAAACGAAACCUCCCGCGCUGCUGGCCGAGAUGCGCGCCCAACUCCAACGAAUUAUUUCGUGGCUGACCCAUCUCUAUCCUCAAAAAAUCUUCCAUCCCUAUCCAGUUUCCCACCCUGCCUCCACCUCCCCCUCUCUCUCCCCUACCUCCAGAGCUCGUUUCCAUCGCCCAGGCACCCGCGAGCUUGAGACCGGCCGCCGCGCGCCCCCAGCCACAGCAACUGGCCGCUGUGGCACGCCGCCCGCUGCGACUCCGCCCGCCGCCCACCACGACUCCGCCUGCUAGCUGCCGGCCGCGACUCCGGCUGCAACAUGGCCGGGGCAUGACGCGAUGCUGCUGCAAGACACCGCCGCCGCCCACCGCGGCUCCCCCAGCCACCACCUCUGCCAACCACUAGAACGCCGCAGGCUACGGGUGCCUGCACGUAGCCACCACCAGCCCCUCCCGUCGCCCCGAGGCACGAGCCCACCACGGUGUCGUUCGAAUCGACUUCGACGCUGCCGGCCAUCCCUCAACAGCCAACAGCGCUGCCGCACACCACCUGAAGGGCAGCAGCAGCCCCCUCCACAUCCGUAAGGUGCUCCAUCUUUUCUUUUUUUAUUAAGAUUUAGAUUUUUUUCCCCAUCUUCAGAUCCAUCAAUUAUGCAUAUCUUGUAUUUUCUUCUUCCUCUUGUUGAUUAAUGCGCUCAUCUAAUUUUAUUUUGCCUGCUAUGGCAUUUGAAUGUGGUUGGGGCUUCUUCGUUAUUGCAGUUCCUGACGAGCCAGAGCAGCAGUAGCUUGUGAACCAAUCACUACAGAAAAACUGGACUUUGCGGACUGCUAAAAUCCUUUGCCACCUGCCAAAGAAAAAACAGUCGGCAAAGAUUCUCUUUACCAACUGCUUCUAAAAGCAGUCGGCAAAGGAUGGCAGGUGGCAAAGAAAGGCAGUCGGCAAAGACAUCCUUUGCCGACUGCCUGGCAGGUGGCAAAGAAAGGCUGGUGGUAAAGGUGGCUGCCUGGCAGGUGGCAAAGAAAAGCUGGUGGCAAAGGUGGCUGACAGCUAACGGCAUCCAUCUCCGUUCCCUUUGCCACCUGCCAAGCUGUUAGGCAGUCGGCAAAGAUAAAAUUUUUUAUUUUUGAAAUUUGAAUUUAGGUUUUAGACAUUCGAUGUCGUCACUUGCUCCAAACUUCCUCCAACUUUUUUCAUAGCCUCCACAUGCAAUAAGAGUGAACCUUAUAAACUUUCUUGAUUUUGUGACCCUUUUUGCUAUAUUUUGUAAAUUAAUUUCUUUUAAUUGUAUUUUCCACUGCAGAAUCCUACUUUGAACUGCAGAUGCAUCAAAUAAUGAAACUUAGCCAUUCGAAAAAUGAUAUUCAUGUUGGAGAGUCUAUUUUAAGGUCAUUUCCCGAAACUCACCCAAAAUUUUGAUGACUUUAUCCACGGGACAUGACCAUCCAGGUGUGUUAGAGGUGAUUUUUAAUUAUAUAAAAUUCAAACAAAGUCGGAAAAUUACGAAACUUGACCAAGUGUCAUGUUAUCACAUGUGGAAGCUCUAAAAAAAUUUGAGAAAGUUUAGAGGAAGUUGCAGUAUCAGAUGAACAAAACCCACACAUUUCCAAUAUGAUAGCAUGUGAUCAUAUGCGGAAGUGUUUGGGUUUUGUACAUCUAACAUCAUAACUUGCUUCAAUUUUUUCAAAAUUUUAUCAUAGGCUCCUCAUGUGAUAGCAUAACACCUCAACAAGUUUCGUACUUUUUCUUAUUUUGUUUGAAUUUUAUAUAAUUAAAAAUCACUUCUACCACACUUGGAUGAUCAUGUUCCGUGGAUAAGAACUUCAAAAUUUUGGAUUAGUUUUUGGAUAUGGUCUAAAAAUACAUUAUUCGACAUGAAUAUCAUUUUUCACAUGGCUAAGUUUUACUAUUUCAUGCACCUAUAGUUCAUAGUAGGAUUAUGUAGCGGAAAAAUCAGUUUAAAGAAAUUAAUUAAUGAAAUGUAGCAAAAAAAUUCAAAAAAUCACAAAACUUUUUGAGGUUUAAGGUUAUCACAUGUGGACCCUAUAGAAAAAAUUUGAGAAAGUUUGGAGCAAGUUGCAGUAUCAGAUGAACAAAAACUAAACAUUUCCAAUAUGAUAUGAUCACAUGCGCAAGUGUUUGAGAUUUGUACAUCUGACAUCAUAAAUUGCUCCAAAUUUUUUCAAAUAUUUAUCAUAGUCUCUUCAUGUGAUAACAUGACACCUCAACAAGUUUCGUAAUUUUCCGAUUUCGUUUGAGUUUUAUAUAAUUAAAAGUCACUUCUACCACACUUGGAUCAUCAUGUUCUGUGGACAAGGACUUCAAAAUUUUGGGUUAGUUUUUGGAUAUGGUCUAAAAAUACAUUAUUUAACAUGAAUAUUAUUUUUUGAAUGGCUAAGUUUUACUAUUUCAUGCACCUAUAGUUCAUAGUAGGAUUAUAUAGCGGAAAAAUCAAUUUAAAGAAAUUAAUUAAUGAAAUAUAGCAAAAAAAGUCAAAAAAUCACAAAACUUUUUGAGGUUUAAUGUUAUCACAUGUGGACUCUAUACAAAAAAAUUUGAGAAAGUUUAGAUCAAGUUGCAGUAUCAGAUGAACAAAAACCACACAUUUCCAAUAUGAUCGCAUGCGAUCACAUGCGCAAGUGUUUGGGUUUUGUACAUCCGACAUCAUAACUUGCUCCAAUUUUUUUCAAAUUUUUAUCAUAGGCUCCUCAUGUGAUAACAUGACACCUCAACAAGUUUCGUAAUUUUCUGAUUUCGUUUGAGUUUUAUAUAAUUAAAAGUCACUUCUACCACACUUGGAUGAUCAUGCUUCGUGGACAAGGACUUCAAAAUUUUGGGUUAGUUUUUGGAUAUGGUCUAAAAAUACAUUAUUCAACAUGAAUAUCAUUUUUCAAAUGGCUAAGUUUUACUAUUUCAUGCACCUAUAGUUCAUAGUAGGAUUAUUGAGUGGAAAAAUUAAUUUAAAGAAAUUAAUUAAUGAAAUAUAGCAAAAAAAAGUCAAAAAAUUACUAAACUUUUUGAGGUGUCAUGUUAUCACAUGUGGACCCUAUAGAAAAAAUUUGAGAAAGUUUGGAGCAUUAGAUGGACAAAAACCACACAUUUCCAAUAUGAUUAGUGCUCACAUGCGCAAGUUUUGUACAUCUGACAUCAUAACUUGCUCCAAUUUUUUUUCAAAUUUUUAUCAUAGGCUCCUCAUGUGAUAACUUGACACCUCAACAAGUUUCGUAAUUUUCUGAUUUCGUUUGAGUUUUAUAUAAUUAAAAGUCACUUCUACCACACUUGGAUGAUCAUGCUUCGUGGACAAGGACUUCAAAAUUUUGGGUUAGUUUUUGGAUAUGGUCUAAAAAUAUAUUAUUCAACAUGAAUAUCAUUUUUCAAAUGGCUAAGUUUUACUAUUUCAUGCACCUAUAGUUUAUAGUAGGAUUAUUGAGUGGAAAAAUCAAUUUAAAGAAAUUAAUUAAUGAAAUAUAGCAAAAAAAGUCAAAAAAUCACUAAACUUUUUGAGGUGUCAUGUUAUCACAUGUGGACCCUAUAGAAAAAAUUUAGAAAAGUUUGGAGCAGUUGACAAAAACCAAACAUUCUUUGCCGACUGCCCUCGAUCCAGGCAGUCGGCAAAGAGUAUUUGUAAAUAAAAUAUACCACGCCUUUGCCGACUGCCCUAACCUCAUAGCAGUCGGCAAAGGACUUAGAUCUAAAACCUAACCAAUAAUAUGCCAAAACGUUAUCUUGAAAAAAAAAAGAAAAACGCAACCAGCAGCUCCACCCGAGCGACGCACGCAGCAGCUCCACUCGAGCAGACGCACGCAGCGCCGCCGCCGCCGCACUGCCGCCGUCGGCACACCGCUCGCAGCCCCGCCGCACCCCCUGCGCUCUGCGCCCCCGCCUCCCCUGCACCCUCCACCCCGCCAUCGACCGCCCGGCCGCCCCUGUCCCGGCCGCCCUCGAUCCGCUCGUGCCUCGUCCUCGUCUUCGCCUCCUCCUCCGCCCGCCGCUUGAUCCGGGGAGGCGGCGCGUCCCUCGUCUUCUGCGGCGCCCGAGGAGGCGGCGGCCGCCGCCGCCGCUGGUGGGGAGGCGUCGAGGGCAGCACAAGAAGAGGAGGAGGCCUUCGAGGACGCGCUCACCGACGAAACACGUGGGCUCUCUUGUGCUCGUCGGCGGCCUCUUCUAGUUUUAGGUGAGCAUCUUCGUUCGGCUGUUUUGUUUCUCUGGUCACAUGGUGUUCUUGCUCUACCAUGUUUAAGAUCCAGUAGAUCAGUCAGAUCUGUUUUUUGUAUGUUUGAGAUCCAGUAGAUCAGUCAGAUCUGGUAGAGUUGCAUCUCUCGGCCGCCACUACUCUGUUGCAGCUGGGCACCAAACCAUUGGUGAACUCUUGGAUCUCCUCUUGUUUUCUUGGCAAAUAUAAUAUGGCACAUCUGGUACGGUAGAGUGUGCAUUUGGAUGAAGGCAAAACAUACAUAAUCUGUGGCAGCGUCAUCUGCAUUAAUUUAAUCCUGGUGUGCUGGUUCAUGUGGUUUCAUGGAGUCUAUAAGUAUAUCAUUUGAACUCUUAGUUUGUUAUGUGAUGUUCUUCAAACACUAACAAAUCAUUUUGGCUAUUAAGAACUGACAUUUGGAGAGCCAUUUUCUGUGAUGCAUGCAGAUUAUUGGCAUCGUUCAUUGUAAUUUUUUUUUGUAUUUUCCAGCAGAUAAUGAAAACAAUGAAGUCUUUAUGCUCAUGUGCUUCCUUCUCAAGUACUUUUGCUCUGCCUAGUUAGUUAUAUUGCCAAUGAGCCAACAUACAUAGACCUUUAUUUCUUUCUGCACUAAAUAUUAUUUAUAUUUUUGAAAGUUUGCAACAUCGACAACAUGUAGUGUGGCAUGCAGCCUCACUUUGUUGGUUCAGAACAUAGUGAUUUGUUCUUGUUUUGCUAAUUAUCAUUUCUCCAAAAUCACUUUUGCUAGUUGAGGAGGGAAAGGCUCGUGGACAGGAUCAACAUUAUCUGGUUUCUCCAUUCAGAAAGGUAAGAAAGUGAAAAGGGAAAAAAAGACUUUUGGCGAUAUAUAUGCCCUAUGUAUGUUAAGCACACGUUGUUACAAAUGUCUUCUAUUUUUAGCAGGAGGCGUUAUUAUUAUUAGCAUGAGGCUUUUUAUGUUCUUUAGUAAAUGCAAGCAGAUAGAUAUAGGAUCUGGAGAUGAACUUUUGUAUUACAUAUUUAUCUGGUCCUCAAAAACAGCAUCUGUGGUAGUGUAGCCUAGUCCUGAAAAAUAUUUGCAUGGAGAUGGAUGGAGUUGGACACUUCGCUUUCUAUCCUGGCUAGAUGCUGAAAUGCUGAAAUUCAAGAUUUGGGUUAUUAUUACUUCUAUAAUUGUCGCUGUAUAAAUUGUGUAUACUUUGCAAUUAUGUUUCUAAUUCAUUUUGUUCUUAUUAUUAUUUGUGCUAAUUGGUUUAAUCUUUGUCAUUGCAGGUAUAGGACAAAAUGCCAGGCGGAGGUAGACGGCGACGACCGCUACGAAAGGUCACCUCGAUCUACAUGUCGACCGGCGUCGACGACGAGGCGGAGGACGAGCUGCCGUUGGUCGAGUUCUCGGCGAGGUCUCGCACACGUCGCGCGUCGACGAGGGAGCUCUUUCCCCAGACGAUGACCACGACGGGGGCGGCGAGGACGUGGGCGGUGAGGACGGGGGUGGCGAGGACGGCGGCGAGGACGGGGGCGGUGAGGGCGGGGGUUGCGAGGACGGGGGCAGCCAGGGCGGGAGCGGGGCGACACCAGCGGAGACGUCUUCCUCAGCGUGACUAGCUAUGUGGUUCUUCUACUUUGCAGGAUGUUGGAUGUUGGUUUAGCACACCAUGUUGGAUGUUUGAUGUUGGUUUUGCACACUUAGUAUGAUUUGUUGGAUGAUGGACUUGUUGAACUCAUUUAUUAUGGUUUAUGUGUGCUAUAUAUGUGGAUUUGUGUGAUAUAUAUAUAUGUGGAUCUGUGUGAUAUAUGUGAAUUCUAGUUAUAUAAUCAUAUUUGUGACAUAAAAUAAAAAAACAGGGCUGAAAUUUUACUUAUUCCAGCUUUGCCACCUGCCAAAAAAAGGCAGUCGGCAAAGAGCCCUUUGCCACCUGCCAAAAAAGGCAGUCGGCAAAGAGCCCUUUGCCACCUGCCAAAAAAAGCAGUCGGCAAAGAAAUUCUAUUAUAAAAAAAUAAGAAAAGCCUUUGCCGACUGUUUUUGGCAGUCGGCAAAGGGGAUGCGCUACGUCAUCUCACGACGGCGUUCGUUCCCUUUGCCGACUGCCAUAUUGGCAGGUGGCAAAGGCUUUGCCGACUGAUUUUCUCUUGGCAGGUGGCAAAGGUUUCUUUGCCGACGAAUUCUUUGCCACGUGUUCUUUACCGACUGCCACGUGUAAAGCAGUCGGCAAAGCCUUUACCACCUGUUUUAGGGCCUUUGCCGACUGCUUUUGGCAGUCGGCAAAGAACAGAAUUCCAGUAGUGAAUAACUCUAGCAGAACAGUUUGGCUCUCACUGACGGACAGCAAGGUCAGAACCAACGAUAUAUAUUCUUGAUUUGUGCUAGACUAGCUAUGGUGAAUUAACUGCUUUCCCUGCAGCAACAUUGCAAUAUUAAAGUUUGGUUGUAGUAAGGACCUGAAGAUUUUGCUUCCAGUUCUUUCAAAGCUUGCAUCUAGAUGUGCUUUUGAUUGAUGUCCAGUGACUAUUUUUGCUCCUCUAAAUAUACAGAUUAAGUCACCUGUCAAUGAAUUUUGCUGCUCUAUUUUGCACAAAUUUAUACAUAACACAAGUCUCUUGACUAAUUUUUGCUAUAGAUGCUCUAUUUUGCAUUCUGAUUGACUGGUUAUGGUGUGCUAGCUAUAUAGGCAAUUAUCUCGAAAAAAAAAUCCUGAUGGCGCUCAAAACAGGGGUGGUUCUAGGCCACUAGUUGAGACUCAACAAUAUCUGGUAAUCUCCUUUCUCAACAUCCAUUUUUUCACCACAUUGAAAUUGUCAUAUGCAUUAACAUUGAUCACUUUUAUUUUUUGAAGGAAGCUAAGCAUGGACCUGGGAAGGGCACUAUAAUAAAUACUUUUUCCUGCAUGAAAGCUGGCCUUAAGAAUUGUGAUGCCAAUGGGAAUGCUGGCCCAAUUCCAGAACAGACAAAGAAACUUCUUGUAUGUAGAAGAACUUUCUAUCUAGAUUCAUACUUUUUCAUUUGCAGUUUCUGACUAAUUAUUUUUGUUAUUUCUAGGAUGACUACAAUGAAGCAUUGCAAGAAAAGUAUCCAGAGGACUGGCAAGAGCAACCUUUUGAUGGUCAAAUUGCAUAUAAUAUUGGUGGUGGCUUGCCGCAUGGUCGUCUUGCAAUAGGAAAUGGUGUUGUCAACAAGGCUACAAUAAUUAAUGCUGCCAAGGCAAAUGGAACAAGGCCAGCAACCUCAAGGGCUUUUGAAAAUCUGCUGGCACGAUAUGAGGAGUCUGUUGCCAACGUUGGUCACUUAACUCAACAAAAUAAUGCCUUGGUUCAACAAAAUGCUGCAUUGACUCGAGAUGUGAAGCGUAAUGCUCGUGUACUUGAGGUACAAUUCUGUUAUGGUGCAUUAUCUAUCUACAGUUCAAGGUUCAUAGACAUUGAUUAUGUAUUUUCACAUACAGCUCAUUAUUAACAAAGUACAAAUAGAGAUUCCACCGGACCUGCUUCAGGAAGAAGAAAAUGACAUGGUAAGAUUAACAUCUUAAUCAAUUUUCACUCUAUCCACCUGAACUCCAAGCAGACAAUAUGCUAAAAUCCUAUACUAAAAAUAGUUUAUACACAAAAUAGCAGCUGCCUAUGUACCAAUAUUUGUGUCUAGUGAAUGAAAUGGUGCAGCUGCUUGGCUUCUGGAAUGGUCAUAUUAAUUUGUUUUGGUUGUAGGGAGGGACUAUAGAUGGAUCAUCUCGUGCCUCAGCCAACAUGGACAGGGACAACAGCGAUGGCCAUUAAGUUGUGCGGUGCCAGGAAGUAUUUUGUGAAGCCAAAGUCUUUUGUUUAUCUACUAUGGCUAAUAGCAACGACCAGCAAGUUCGAAGGCCGUGCAUGUGUCAUGCUGGGUAUUUUGGUUGUGCGUGGGCUGCUGCAUAUUUAGAUUGUGAAGCAACAUAUGCAGAUUCCAUCGCGCUUCAAGACAUGUGUGCUAGUUGUGGAGUACCAGAUUGCUUAUUCCCUGCAGGCAUGCUUAUGCAGAAGUGGGUGCAUACUGCUAUCAAACUACAGCUUGCUACUUAUAGACUUCCUGGGUCAAGGAAGGUCAAUUUGUUGGCUAUCUUGUGCAGAAGUGGUUGUGUACUGCCAUGAGAUAGCAGCUAGCUAGCUGAAGUUGUGUUGGGAGAUAGAUAGCACCUAGUCGUGAGGUAGCACAAAACUUGUGCUGCCGGUUAGUUAUCUAACUAGAAGGCACUAAUUAUUAUAUAACUUUGUAUGAAUGAACAACUUGAAUGAUGUUCUAAGAUUAUAUAAUAUGUAUUACUUCAGUGUGGAUGAAUGCCUGUAUCAGUCCCUGUAAUAUUGUGUAUAAUCGCUAAUUACUUGCUAUGAACAGCGGUUAAAUAAUCAGUGAUUUUGUGUGUGUAAUUGACUGGAAAUAUUUCCCUGACGGAGGAAAACCGUCCGGAAUCUACAACCGUGACGGCAGACAAGCUGACGGGAAAGCCUAUUUCCAGGCCUGACGGUUGAGCUGCCGACGGAAAAAGUUGAAACUAUCCCUGACAGUGCGGUAACUGACGGUGAAAGUUUAAAUUUUCACUGACAGUACAACAGCCGACGGGAAAAGUUGAAACUAUCCCUGACGGGAUUCAUCCGUCAGAGAAAAUGUUCCUGACGGGAAGCCUGCCAACCGACGUUGUAGAUCUUUCCUGACGGUGGCAGCCGUCAGGAAACUGUUCGUGACGGUUUUCCGUCAGGGUGAACUGACUAUCCGUGACGUUUUUUCCUGACGGGUUAUCCCUGACGGUUACCGUCAGAGAUGACUUUCCGUGACGGUUUUCUCCACUUUCCCUGACGGAACCAGCCGUCAGGAAAAAAGUUGUCUGGCGUGGUGAAAGUACCAGCAAACAAUACGCAUUCGAAAAUAACAAUAACAUAAUUGUAAACCCUAAAUGGAAAACAAAAUGAAAAGAAAAAGAAAAAAGAAAAAAGUCUUUAGUCCCGGUUGGUAGCAACAACUGGGACUAAAAGUGAAGGCCAGAUGGCACACCCUGGCGCACCUUUUAGUCCCGGUUGCUGUUACCAACCGAGACUAAAGGUGGACCUUUAGUCCCGGUCCGCGGAACCAGGACUAAAGGUGGGACAUUUAGUCCCGAAACCUUAGCCCCGGUUCCGUAGCCGGACUAGAGGCCCUUACGGCCUUCCCUGUACUAGUGACUCACAAAAGCUUCCAACUAUUUCCAUCGGUUUGUUGCAGCAGUGACCCAAUUUUGGACCUGCUUUUCACGGUAUAGUUUCAGUGUCACACAAAUUAGCCCUCUCAUGUUUAUUGUGUUAGAUGAGAGCACCACAAAGAAUUUCUGUAGUGCAGCAAUUGUGGGUAGUAGUGAAUAGUAUUAGUCUACAAGUAAAACUAAGGAUUAGCCAAGACAAUCACUAUAAUAUACACAUCUUUUUCCUCAAAUAAUAAUAUACACAUCUCUACCUGCCAAGAAGUUCUCAAGAAACGCAUAUAGUUUCUAGUGGCAUUUGAGGGUUUGUUUUUUCUCCUGAAACAAUUAGACACCAAGCAUUUUUUGAAAUUCCUACCAAUUGUGGUUAUCCAAAACUCUAUAUAGUUAGUAAUAAACAAGUAUAUAUGUACAUGGCUAGGGAGCAGUAGAAGACAUCGUUGGUAAAUUUAUAAGAAAUGCAGUAUAUAUUUCGCAAAAAAUACAAAUACAUCUCGGUAAAUCAAGGACACGACCAGCAAUCUUUUUUUUUUUUGAGACGAAAGAAACCAAGACCAGCGAUCACGUACGACACGGUGAAAUGACUCAACCAUACUAAUAUAGCCUGCCCGAUAGACGAUAAUAACAGGGCUAUCUAUCUAGCUUUAUACUAGCUAGAAGUUUGGCAUGAACGACGACGCGGAGGAUAGCUAGAUGCGCGCGCAUCGAUCUUUCGAUCGAUCUCACAUGGUGCCCUCGAAGGUGAGGAGCUUCCACGUCUUGGACUCGGAGCCCGGGAUGCCCCACACGGUGGAGACGUAGCUGCCGGCGGUGCCGGUAUAGUUGGUCGCCGAGAGCACCAUCCAGUAGUUGUUGGCGCCGCCCCCCGCCGGCGAGGACCAGCACUUCGACGUGCUCAGGUAGUUCAUCGGGAUCAUGUGAGCGAGCCUGUACACGUUCACCGCGAACUUGCCCACCUGCUUGAUGAAGUCGCUGCUCACGUCCUCCUGCUUCGUGUACGACGGCGGCGGCGCCGGGUCGGCCACCACCACUGUCAGGGCCGUCGCCAAGAAGGCAACGAGUGCUAGCACAGCAACAAUCGCCGCCGAUUGCUUCUUCAUGACUGAUGAUUGGCGGCGAGCUGCUAGCAGCUGUGGGUACAUGCACUAAUAAAGCGGCUAGGGCUUGUACGUGUACGUACAGCUAGCGCGCUGUGCUAGCUAGGAGCUCUGUGAGCGAGCUGUGUUGGGAACUCGAUGUGUGGUGAUCUGGGAUGGCACACGGCACGCCCUCUAUAUAUAGCCGCCGUGUGCAGGUAGCCCGGCUGCCGGCCGCCGUGGUAGUGUAUAGAUUGCCAAAACCAGAAAGCUAGCCCGAGCAAUGCGCGUCAGCUGCAACCUCCUCCGUCAACCUUAAUAGUUUAUUUGACUGAUAAACUAUAGUAUAAAAUACUAUUGAUUAAUUUAUUGUGAGAGAAAAAUACUACUAAAUGACUAGUAAAUUUGGCUGAUAAACCCAAACCAGAGAACUUCUCCGGCCGACAUCAAGUGUGUGUACAUAGUACGUACUUGCAUUCGAGCUAAGCCAGCUGGUGGACAGGGGUACACGUGUUCUGUCUGAAGGAACGUGCGCGAAUCUCGGUGGAGGACGUACGUACUGUACGCGGGCGGGGCGCGCUCUCGUGCAUGGCAUGCGUUUAUGCAUGGGUGCUUGUGAUCGAGGACGUGGAGAUUGGCGCGGCCAGCUAGUUUAGUCUUGUGAUUUGCUGGUUGUUUGCUUCGGGGCAAGGCGUCGCGCAGAAUAACGAGAAGCCUCGCUAAUAGCUCCGGGCACGGUGCAUGCAGUGUGGCUGCCUCGCUGGAGUAGGAGAGCUAGCGCGCGGGCCGCCAGCCGAGAGCAUGCAUUCCAAUCCAACCACGGCGGUCAACAGGUGGGUAGCGCUCCAAAUUGGACGGCGCAUCGGCCGCGACGCCCGUGCCGGCCCGGCCGGUGGAGGAGCGGCGAUCGAUGAUGCUAGCUGCGCGCGGCGGAGGCUGGAGGGGAUCGGAGCUAGCUAGCUGGCCAUAUAUUGUCGCCGACACCGAUCGUCCACUGGUUCAGGUGUGGGAACGCACACGAAUUCCCUCAUGGCCCAUCCAAUUAAUUUACUGCUAGCAAAUAAAACUAGGCUCUCGCGCGCUUCACAUGCAUACAGAGGAGUCGUCGAGAGAGUACGACCUAGUACUGGUACUAUUUCUUUAGCUUAAUUGAAAGUCAAAAACUCGCACGUACCACUUGGCCUAGCCGCCGAUAUAUGCUCGAAUCAGAGUACAAGUACUACUUCUUUAGCUCAAUCGAAAGUCAACUCUCAACUCGCACGUACCACUUGGCGCCUAGGACCAUAUAUAUGUGCAAGAGUGACAGUGGUUUAAACUACCAAAUGUUUGCAUGCAUUUUGCCAGUGCAAAUGGUGAAUUUUCAUAGGCGUCACUCUGGAAACCGCCGAUACAAAAACAGAUCUAGUGUAAAUGUUUCUAUACUAGUAGUUGACUUACAUCAUAUAGCUGCCAGUUCAAAUAAUUUUCACAUGUGCUGGAGGCUGGAGCUAAGUUAACACUCCCAUGCAUGUUUUUCCAAGGGCGGCUAAAUAACACUAGAACAUCAUGCAUGCGCCCUUCGGGCGCCCUAUCAUGAUUUGAAGAACAAAAGCAAGUCCAUUCUCGAUAGACAUGGCUCCAUAAUUAGAUACAGUAAAGCUAAGAUGUUAGUCACAUAUUAAUAUAUAUAGUAAUUGCCACCAUCACCAUAGUGUCAGUAUCUACGAUCAAGCAUAUAUUAUCUGAAAAAAUGAUCAAGCAUAUAUCAUAUCAUACCAUUAGAAAAAUGACAAAUUAUGAAGCAAUGAUAUGGUUUGUAUGUCCACUAUAGCUCUCAUGGUUCUGUUCACACCCUUCAUUACAUUAACGGUGUUGUUGAACCAUACAUUACAUAACUAUUAGGUACAAUUUACAAUCAGGAAUUCACAACAAUCAAACACUUAAGCUAGUAGCUUAGAACGGCAAACUAUAUAGUUCGCAGCCAUGAGGUUUGCAAAAGACACAAAGUCGAUCAUCAUAGUGGCAAGUUCCCUUGAUGCUGAACAUCAGACGUCAAUCAGCAGUUGAGCAAGUACACACAGAAAAGCUAGGUGCAAUCAAUAGAGGCAAAAGAGAUGUGACCUUCCUCUUUAGGUGAUUAGGUACCAUGGACAGGUCUGAAAUGGAAAAAUAUGGCAUAACAUAUGAUGUGCAUAGAUUAUAACAUGGCAAUAAAGUUAUGGGCUAUUGGAACAUCUAGAUCAUAACUCUAAGCAAUUAAUCUAUCAUGUGAUUGCUCUCCCCUCUUUUGGAGUUUUAGUGAUUAAGUAUUUUCUCAAAACCAUUACUUACUAAGUAAAUAAAUAUUCAUGAUCCUGCACCUACAUGAUCUGCUUACUGUCUUGGUAGCAAAUGAAAAUAAGUAAAUAUUUCAAUGUGCAGUGAACAACACAGCUAACGAAGACAAAAUAAAAUCAGAAAAUGAUUAAUAUACUAAACUUUGCCUUGCAGAUUUGAAUUGCAUAUUAGCAUUAGCACACUAAUAAAUAGUAAUAUUGCAAUUUGCAGGUAUAGUGUUAUAGGUGCCAUAGUGUUGACACGGUUUUUGGCUCACUGAUAAUAUGUGCAAUAUUUGCUUUAAAUAAAUGUAAAUAGUAUAUAUGGCCAAAUUCCAUAUAAGAUAGAAACGAAUAAUGGAAGAAAUGAUAUCGUACACUCCAAAAUAUACAUGGGUGAAGAGGUAUAAUAAAUAUGUAUACAUGCUAUAUCCAAAUAUGCAUGAUGAGAAAGCGUAUAUGUGUAUACGGUUCCAAAUGAUUAAGAGUGUUGAUAGAAUAACCUAUCACACAAGUGACCUGGUGAUUAUUCAAAUAGAGAAAAGAAAAGAUAAUAACUUAUACAAAUAUAUAUGCACGUACGAAAUACGUUGGACGAUAUUCUCAAACGGUGCUACAGGAAUAAAUAAGUAUUAUUAUAUUUCUCUAACCUGUUGAUACUAAUCUUUAGCAUACCCGAAAUAUAUGGAAAUAUUUAUAUCAUAUUAAAUAAAAUGAUAUAGCUGAUCAAGUUUCAUUUAACUAUAUGAUAUAGGCAAAUAAGGGAUAAUACAAUAUCCCUAACAAAAAGGAGAAGAAAGAUAAAAAAAGAGGGGUACAUAUAUGUACAUAUGCAUGAACGUGCUAGUGUCUAGACAAACACGCUCUUUAUAUCGGCAAAGUAAGAGAACAACAAACUAAAAGUAUAGUGAGUAUAUGUUUUGUAUAUAGAUAUUCGUCUGGCCGUAAAAUAAUACAUACACUGCUCAUGCAUACACGUAUGGAUUAAAACAUGAUCAUGCAGCGUAUAGGAUGGUGGUGUGCCUAUCAUGUAGCCUUACGUACGCCAACCAGAAGAUAAACCUCCCUAUUUUCCUUAGAUUAACUAGCAAAAAUGCCCGUGCGUUGCAACAGGAGAAAAAACAAAGCUAUCAAAUCUAUAUCUAUAUCUCUAUUAUCUAAUUAUAUAUAUCUACCUAAUAAUAAAGAGGUAAAAUUUUAGUCUCUUUCUUUUGUCCAUCUAUUUUUUCUGUCUUCCUCUAACUACCAAAGAUGAAGAGUUUCUUUUAUCUGGACUUAUGUAUAUAACUCGUGCUCAUAUGAGUUAAAAUAACUUGCGUCUAAAUCAAUAUGGAGUAGAAAUCCUAAUAUAAAUAGAUUCCUCACGUAUUCUAAAUAGAACUCUUAAUAUUCAAAUAGAAAAUAAUAAGAAUUAUGUUCUUUAUUUUGUUGCGCUUUCUUUAUUUGGUUACAUGUCAAUUGGAGGAAAAAAAAUCGAAGUCCUAAUCUGUAGUUCCUUCUUAUAAUAAAAAGGCAAAAUUUCUGAUUAUUUUGGAUUUUGGUCUAGCCCAACUAUUCGCUUGUUUCGGUCUAAAAUUGGUUUAAACUCGUGUUAGGCUUCCGAGUUAGAUUCAAUUCAUAACUUUCCUUUUUUUUCCCUAACCUAAUUAGACCAGAAGUCCUCGUGCCAUAAACAGAAAAUAAACUAAAAAUAAUAGGAAAUCAGAUGUGAACGAGAGGAGCAUCGUUUAAUUAAUCUAGCUGGUAAACAUAUAAAGAUAUGGUGGACUGAAAUUUUUAUAAUUGUAUAUUAAGUAAAUUGGAAAAUUUUGAUGAGACGAAAAUUUUGAUCAAACGAAAAUUUUGAUUGAAAUUUUGCCUCUUUAGUACUCCCUCCGUCCCAAAUUAUAAGUCAUCCCAAGAAUCUUGGAGAGUCAAAGUUUUUCAAGUUUGACCAAAUUUAUAUAGCAAAAUAAUAACAUUUUUGGUACCAACCAAGUAUCAUUAGAUUCUUUGUUAGUUAUAUUUUCAUAGUGUACCUAUUUUAUGACAUAAAUCUUUAUAUUUCUCUCUAUAUUUUGGUUAAACUUGAAAAUGCUUUGACUCUCCAAGAUUCUUGGAGUGACUUAUAAAUAUGCCCGUGCGUUGCAACGGAAGAAAAACAUCAAAUGAUCUUAAAAAGUGAUGUAUAUUACAUAUCUAUUUAUAUUUAUCCUUUUAUAAAAUUUAAAGUUCAUAAUUUAUUUUAUUGAUAACCAUAACAUCUAUGGUAUUAGAUAGUUAAUAUUUACAAUAAUAUGUAGCUUGAAGACAUAUUUAUUUAAUAAUAAAAAUAGAAAUUUGUUAAACCUUAUCUCACUCUAAUAUUACCUUUUAAUAUACCUUAAUAUUAUAUUAAAACAUGAGAAGUUUGAUGCUAGCAUUAUUUAGGAUUGCUAUGAAAUAUGAAUCAAGCAUCACAUUAAAUAGGCUACUAGCAAAAUAAUAACAUUUUUGGUACCAACCAAGUAUCAUUAGAUUCUUUGUUAGUUAUAUUUUCAUAGUGUACCUAUUUUAUGACAUAAAUCUUUAUAUUUCUCUCUAUAUUUUGGUCAAACUUGAAAAUGCUUUGACUCUCCAAGAUUCUGAGUGACUUAUAAUUUGGAACGGAUGGAGUAUUAGAAUUAGAAGUAUAGAUAUACUCCUUGGAUCAUUGGAAAUAAGACAUAUUCUAGGAUAGUUUAUGGGGUAACUCAAAUAACGCAUGUAACCUUAACAAUAGAGAGAUUUUGUACUUAUACUAUAUUUUGAAUGUGCUAUAGACACUAAUGGCAAGUACGGAUGUGAUUGGGACAUUGGGAGAGUUAAAUAAUUUAUAGUAACUCAUAAUCUGAAAUAGAUUUUGAAUGCUUGGCUAAAAUUAGUAGCCAAAUUCUAUAUUUUAGUCAUUUUAUAAAAUAGAAAACUUUUUUAAAAACAGAGGUCUACAACAGCUUUGAUAUUCUAUCAAUUUUAUACUAAAAAGCAUAGGCAAGCAUCUCCAGCAAAGAAAAUAUAAUAAAAUUUAUGAUAUUUUUUAUUUACUGCAUAGAUCUACAUUUGUGGAGCUGAAUAAAAUUUGUUUUGUAAUUUUUAGAUUUAUCUAUGAAUUACUAUGUAUUUAUUAAUUGAUUUAAAUAAUAAAAGAAAAAUAAACUAAUAGGAUAAACACUUUGCAUCUAAGUCCCUAUAAUUUCUUUAUUCUCAAUGUCUGUAAUGUAUAAAAGAGAUUUUGCAUUGAAAACCUUAGAAAAACUUUUAUUUUUUUUUCUCUGGCAGCGUUGGAAGCCAACGAUAGAUAUACGGACGCGAGGCCGAUUCUGGUAGGGAGGGCAGAAAAAUUUUGGAGCAGACUGAAAUUUUCACAAUUUAGUAGUAGGGAUAGAUUACUUCAAUCUAGAUGAAGUGGCUCAUAAACCAUGGAGAGGGAGAGUCAUCAGGUCUUGACGCAUUCCAUGUUUUGACGGCGUCAGGCAACCUAGUCCAAGUCCAAAGGAAGAUUCAAACCUCCAUGAACUCCACGUCUGGAAAGAACCCCGUCGCAGCAGUCGCGCGUGAGGCCAUUCAAAUCAAGCGUACCAAGGUCAUUAGCGGAGGCAGAUUGAAUUAGAAGAGCGCCAAACAUCAUGGUAACUACUCCCGCCGUUUCAGCUCUGGACGAGAUUUCAAAAUAUAAAACCACCCGGCCGCUUGCUCUGUAAAUAGAGAGCUAGUACGAGCGUUCAAGUCCCCUGCUCUCCUGAUCGAAAGUGCCGCCAGGCUGCUGCUCCAUUGCCUCGCCGAAACAACUGCUGCCAAGCUGCCGCAGCGCCUCGCCAUUGACAAAUCCGAGCGCUCGUCCGGUCUCUGCUCAAGCCAACUCCAAAGCAAACACCAAAUAGAGGAGAGCAACAUCAUCCAAGAAAAAGAUCGCUCGGCAGGAACUUGUUGCCGCCGGUGGAGUACCGCCGCAAGGUGAGAUGCUUACAGGAGCAAUCAGCCAACACUUCUAAUCUCUCGUCUCUCUUCGCUUUCUGUUCUUCGGCUACUGCAUCGACAAGCUUCAUCGGCAACUUGACGGUUUUUGUUAAAUGGCCGGACCAUGCCGCUGCAGAUGAGCAGCGUGUAGGGGACUGACCACAGUAAAAGAUAAAAGGGACAAACAAGGUUGGCGCCCCGCGCCUGAAUUUGAUCUCUGGUAAAAUAUCGUUCGGCAAUGCUACGACCAUGCUAUGCACAUGGGUUGAGCCUUGUAAAAGGUCAGCUAGCAGUGCCAUGACAGCGCUAUGUGCAUGGGCUUUGUGCCCCAGCGAAGGUGUAAAAAUGCAGUAAAUAUACCAUGGUAAAAUUCAGGUUUAGAUGCGAUUUGGCUCCAUCCCGCGAUUAAAAUUUGGAUCGGACACACUUUGGCUCCACCCCGGUUAUGUUCAUGGUGAAAAUUUGGUUGGUGGCUCCAAUCCGGUUAAAGGUUCAUGAUACAAAAUUAGUGGACGCACUUUGGCUCCACCGGUUAUGAUAAAAUUGGUAUGGACACGAUUUGGCUCCAUAUCUAAAUAAGUCUGCAUAUGUUUUGGCCAUGGCCCCGCCGGCCCAUUUCCGUACUGUGCAUCAAAGAAAAUAGACAAAUUGCAUGCUGCGACUAUAAAAGAAGUUCGUGUGCUAAGUUAUGACAAAUCAAAGAAAUAGCUAUUUGUGCAUUAGAAAUUAUGUCAAAAGAGAAGUUAGUUAUAUAUUGCAUGUUGAGUCCAUGCAUAUCUUUCUUUGGUCGUGGCAGUUAGCGCCUUUGAUGCAAAUUUGAUUUAGCUAGCACUGACAUCCGUAUGCUAUAUUCAGUGCCGUGCAUUUCAUUGGUAGUUGCAAGAAAGAUUGAAGUUUGCAUCGCCAUGAGAUAAAUAAACUAGCUCUUUUAUAUGCCCGAACUGUCAAAGACUAUGCAUAUCCAGAAUUAGAAUAUGUAUGCAUACAUCAUGCACAUGUCUGGUCUACGUCAGCAAAGACAAAUAAUGAUAAAAAACGGUAUAGCUCAUACUCUACGCCUUAUCAAGUAUUACGGCCAAACAAAAAAAAUCCUGUUUGGGCACGUAAAAACCCAUGUUCAUAAAUCUUAUAUGCUACUGCAUCUUGCGUGAACGGUGAUGAUCAAACCGCUUAUACCAUAUAGACACAGUCAAUUUAGUCUUUGCAUCAAAAUCAACAUGGGUGCAUUCAUAUCUCAUAAAUUAUAUAAGAAUAAGAUGAAAUGCUUCAAAUUAAACUGGCCUUGUCAUGUUCAUCAUACCGAGCAUAGUUCCUCCAAAUUCCGUGCAUCAUGUAUAAAUAAAUAUUGCACCUUAGCUAUAUCCCAUUCAUAAAUCACCGGGCCUAGCUGAGUUGUAAACAAACCGCAUCAAAUUAAAUUAAAUUAAAUUGCAUAAUACGUGCUAAUCUGUGGCCAAAUACCAUGCUAGGAGCAUGCAUAUUAACUUUCAUAAAAUAAGGUCACUACAUGCAUCACGACCAGGUCCGGUGAUGCAACAUGCUCCCUCCGUCCCAAAAUAAGUGUCGUUUUCGCUUCCCGAGAAAUAACUUUAACUAAAUAUAUAGUAAAAAAUAUUAAUAUUUAUAAUACAUAAUUAAUAUCAUUGAGAAGAUCUUUAAGUCUAGUUUUUUAACAAAUUUAUUUAGAGAUAUAAAUAUUGCACGUAUUUUCUACAAAUCGAAUCAAACUUGUGGCACGAAAACCUAAAACGACACUCUUUUUAGGACGGAGGGAGUAUCUUUCUAGACCAUGGCAAAAUAGACGUCCUAGCUUAGCCCCAAAUAAAAUAUUGCAUCAUAUAUGCCAAAGCAUGUUAAUCCAUAAUCUUGCAUGUCUCCAAGUAAAUUACGUGCACGCAUGCAUGAUAAAAUGCACCAAAUAAAUGUUUAUUAUAUAAAUAAAUUAAUGUCCCUCCAUCGGCACGCAUACAUGUCAAAAUUCAUGUAACUAAAUGCAUAUAUGUCCACAAAGGGUCAUAUGUCGAAUUAUUAAAAUUUAACCACAUCAAGGCCUAAAUAAAUAAUGUGAUAUUCUCAAAAGUUUGCAUGGAUUAAACAUAUGCAUGUCGUUAUUAUGAGUUGCUAAAAAGCUAAACAUGCUAGUGACCAAUCAUACAAGGAAUAUAUAUUACCUGCUCAACAAAUGAAAUGUCAUGCUCAAAAGAAAUGACGGAUAUCAAGUUCAAGUUUAUGCCGGGCCUAUGCAUGCAUCCAUCCGCGACUACAAGACUGAAGAUUUUAUUUUCUUUUGUAGUUUGUAAUAGCAAGCCAUAUGAUGUAAUCUUUCUUCUUCAUGUACUCAUGUUGGAACUCUUAAUCAGAGGUGUUCUCUUCGGAGAUGUAAUUAACAUAAUUUUUAUAUAAAUAUAAGAAUUAUGGAAGUAUGGACUCGCAAUACCUGUUCUUUUCAUAUUGUCCCAUUUAAAUUUAUAUUUGUCUCUGCUGACGCGGAGGCGGGUCAUAGCCGCCCGUUUCCCCGCCUUCACAUAGAAACACAAACUACAUAUAUGCCAAAGAACAAAAAAUUUGGUCACAUAACUCAGAAGUGCUUUAUCUGAAUUUGAUGAAAGUUCACACAUCAAGUGAUACAUACUUAAACUGGCGCCGGCACUCCUGGAGUAUACAGAACAAUUACUUUCUUUAACAAAUGAAGUAUAUCCUGAAAGAAACAUCCCUUCAUGGUGUGCUGCAGAAGCACAAUGCAAAGCCAACCAUUUCACAAAUUACAUGACAUGGGUGGAACCAGCAAAGGGUUUUGAUAAAUUUCUAAACAAAAAUCCAAGUUAGUUUUUUUUGCUUGUUUGCAAGUAAAUCAGAUCUAAAUACAAAUCCUCCAGGACCAAGCGUAUCAUCAGUGUCAGAGAGAGCACAAGAAAACAACGGGUACAAGAUACAUGAUAAGUGAUUGCAGAACUGCAUAGCUGAGCGAAGCUGUUAAUGUAACAAACAAGGGAGCAAUGACUAUAUGGCAUCAUUGUUGAUUCCACUCUUCAAUGAGUAACAUUUCAACAUUGUAGCACUCUUCAUCUGCUAAUUUUAAUUUUAAUUUAGGAAUUAUCAUGAAAUCUUCCCACUUCUCUAAACCCUUUUCCCCACUACAUUCACUUGCUCCCACCAUUACCUGAAUCAACUAAGAAACGGAUAAGAAUUCCCCUUUCUCCACUACAUUCACUUGAUCACUAUUACUUGAACCAACUAAGAAAAGGAUAAGAAAUCAGGGAGUCUGUUUGUGAAUUGAGGAAUCCCCAAACCAAAACAAUUCACGUUACCUGAUGAGUCGGAUGAACACGCUGCAGCUCACAGUUGCCUACAGUAUCCACCACUCCAGCUUGCGUCAGAGCGCUCAAGGCAGCUGCUAGAUGGCUGAGAUCCACGAACCACCCUAGCUGGACGUACGCCGCCUCCUCUCUGGUCCCACAUGAUAUGGAACUUGUAGAUCCGGUGGAAGCAGGAACACUCCAACAUGAUGGCCGGGGAGCUAGCAGAUCCGGUGGGAGCGACGAAGCUGUUUUCUUCAUGUGCUUGGGCUGUCCUAGCCCAUGGGGCGAGAUGGAGCCGUUAGAGCUCGGGUUCCACUGCACCACACUCCGUCCUGCACAGAUCGAGGCGUGAAUCGAGGCCACUACACUAGAUCCGGAGGCGGAUGAGCUCACCUCGUCUUGAUAAAGCGACAUUCUGCUCGUAGGCGAGGAAAGGGCAAGGCGGGGAGAGGCAUGAAGGUGGCAUGCCGAGGAGAAGGCAUGGAGGCCGGGCUGUAACACCCUAAAAAUUGCUCCUUUGAAAAUAGAGCUAAAUUAAUUUAAUUUUUGCAUUUUUGUGCUCAUGAGAAUAUAGGAAAAAUAAUAUUUUUCUUUAAAAUAAAAUUUAUUAUAAGGCUUAGCAACAAUUGUGUGUAAAUCAUGCUGGUGCAUUUUAAUUUUGAGAUGAGUGAUUUUGACCAAAGUUUGAAAAUAUUUCAAACAGAUUUUAAAACGGAUUUAAAAUAGGUGUUGAAAUAAAAGAAGAAAAAAAAAAGAAAGCAAAGAAGACCUCACCUCCCUCCUGAGUCUCGGCCCGAACUGAGCCAAGGCCGGCCUAGCGCACCCCCUUCCCCUCUCCCCCUCGCCUCGGCCCAGUACGAGGCCCAAACCGCGCACACUCCCUCCCCUCCCUCCUUUCUGCUGCUGACAGUCGGGCCCCACCCCUUCUCUCGCUGCCACGUGGGACCCGUCGAGGCGGCGUCUUCCCCUUCCCUAUUCGUAACCGAGCAGGAUAACUCCUACCGAACCUGAUCCUAGGAAGCCACGAUUUCUUGCCUUUUUGCGUGAAUCAAACCCCUAUAAAGCUCCUAGUGACGCCCCGUGUCUCGGUUUCCCAUCUAUGUCACAAAACCAAGCCCUAGCCACUUCCAUCGACGUUUUCGGAUCUCGCCGAACUUCGAAUCGAGCCGCCACCAUCGCGCAUGCUCCCUGCUCCCUCUCGACCCAAGUGAAGUCCCUAGGCGGAUUUGUAGUAAGCUCCUCCACAUCCUGGUGGUUUUAUUUCUCAGUUUGGUGCACGAAAUCAUCGGAUCGACGAGCUCCGGUGAGCCCCAACAAUGGCGCCGCCGCCUAGCUCCUGUUCCGGCUAACCGGCCGGCCGGCCGGAAGCCCCUCGGGUGAUUCUGGUCCGUCCGAUCGUGAUCUGAUGGCCCAGAAUAGAAGUUAUCCUUUCGGAGUAACAUUUGCUAAAGAGUCCCUCCCCUUUUUGAUAAUAAAACCCGCCGUCCCUUGGCGUGUUAUCCGGUUUGCGCUUUUCAAUUCGGAAAACGUAUUCUUAUCGGCUUAAAAGAAAAUACGCUUAGGUAUUUAUAGUUUUGCCACCAGAUUUAAAUUGCUUAUAACAUGCUCAUUUUAACUCCAUUUUUGUCCAUUCAAAUUGCCUUGGAUUCGUAUUAAUGAGCUCUACAUGUUAGUAAACUUAAUUCACCAAUUUGAAACUUUUUAAUUUCGUGACUCUAUUUAAUUAAUUAUUUUUCUAUAUAAAAUCUUAGAAAAUUCAUAUCUUCUAUGUUUUAACUCCGAUUUUCGUGAUCUUUACGUCUGUGAGAUCGUAGUGAUGCGUAGAAUCAUUUUAUAAACUUUUUCCACUGUUUUUAUAUGAAUGGUGUACUGUUCUAAUUGUAGCCUUGUUUGCUUCGUUUAUGUUUGUCUCCGAUUGUUUGUGUGUUGAUGAUCGAUGAUCGAGUUUAGACGGAGAGCAGUUUUUGGUGAUCAAUAUCAGAGCCUUGGACAAGUGAGACCAGCAGAACCAACAGGAUCCACAAGAGCAUUUGGAUUAAGGCAAGUAUAGCAUUUGGGUUUUAAUUCUAUGACCAUGAUCCUUUGACUAAAUUAAUGUUAAGUAAUAAAUGAUAAAAAUGACUUUUUAGCCACUUGAUGAUUAAGUGAUAACCGGGACAACAGUGCAACCAUGAGGGCUAUAAUGGCUCUGGCUUUAGCUCAGUAUAAAGACCUUUUCUAGCUUGUUAGAGGUUACCCAAAGGGCGCUAGAGGGGCUUAACCGACACGGGUAUAGUGCGAGCCUCUGUUCUUAUGUGUAUAGGUUGCGCGUCAUUGUACCAUUUGGAAGGGGGUAUCUAUAUCUGCUCGCCCAGGAAACCUUGCGGCCCUAACAUGUUAGACGAACUUUUGAAACGCUUCAUAGUGAUCUCUGCCGGCCUCCCUAGGAAGGGGGUUAAGAGACUCGCGACCUCGGGUGAAAGGGUAAAUUAUGAAUCAUGGGUAAAGAUGUACAACCUCUGCAGAGUGUUAAAACUGGUAUACUAGGCGUGCUCACGGUCAAUAGCGGCAUUGGGGAUUCUUGCAUUAAGGGUGUUGAUUCUUGUUGUGUUAAAAUAUUCAUUAUUUAUUGUUUAAUGCUCUACAUUAUUUAUGCCACAUUGAUCAUGAGAUUGUGGGAUCUAAACAAUCUAGUUGCUAUACUUGUGGAGUUCGACAUGGACUCACUCUUGCUAUUUCCCCCAUACUUCAGGAAGAGUGUUAGACUUGUGAUCAACCAGUCAGUUGGAUCCUGUAGAGUGAAGUUAAUACCCGAAGUUGGAGUUAUCUAUCCGUUGUUUGUUACUAAAGGUUAUCUCUUUUAUACUAAGUACGUCAUAAAUUUAUGCAUUUUCUGUUGAUAUUACCCCUUAUUUAUAGCUAUAUGUGAGAAUUGACUUCUAAGACUCACAUAUGGUGCAUAUCUGGUUUUAUCCUUAAAAUCGGGUAUUACACCGGCGGCGGCGGUAAGGGGGAAGAGAGGAAAGGGAGACUGAAACAGACGAGAGAUGCCAGUGACCCAUAGAUCUGUGCCGUCACCAUGAGCAGAGGGGAGAGAAGGUCCUCACAAAUACAUGUAUUGCCCCGUCACCACGAGUGGAGAGGAGGGGAGGUCAUCGCAGAUUUCGUGAGCUCCUCCGUCACCGCCAGUGGAGGCGAGAAGAGGGAAGCUAGGGUUUCGGGGCUUCGGGCGCCACCCAGCCAAUGCUGGAGUGAGGCCGAUGAACAUGGAGAGAUCUGGACUGCGGGUUUGUUUCCAAAAGGCUAGAGGGUUUUUUUACAAAAGAUGUAGCACGACGUGUCGACAGGCGGAUGAGCCACCGAUGCUCCGAAUUCUACGGUGCGAGCAAAACCGAGUGAGUUUUAAUAACUCCCGAUUACCUGCCUUUGGAAAGAUUUUAAAAUAUUCAAAAGUUUCCAGACUAUUGAUAUUUUUCGUUUCCCGCCAUAUUAGACUACUUGUUCGCAGCCUAUACAUCAUACAGGCAAUUAUAGAAACAAAUAUACUAUAACAUUUUGUGGUAUAUCUCUUGUUGUCUCCGAGAAACUCAGACGUUUAUUGCAUGGUUAUUUGUGGCACUAUCACUACCAGAAACUGGAGAUUUCGUAAGGGUAAUGGUUUUUUGUGAGAGUUAAAAACACACUCUCAUGAAAUUAAUCUUUUUCAUGAUGGCGAUGUAAAUCCCACCAUGAAAACUUAUUUUCAUGAGCUAGAGUGCUCCACACAUCGUCAUGAAAUUAGCUAUUUUCUCCUUUUUAUUUGCAACAUUUUUUUGUGUAACUAGUCUUUCCCCGUGCUAACUCCAAAUGAUAUGUUUAUUUUUCCUAGUGUCUUUUCUAAAAUCAUGAUAUACUGAUUGACAACAUUUGUUUGGAUACCAAUUAUUGUUUCUUGGUUCUUUUGCAUAUGACUUGUUUUUCACUCAUGUAUAUAGAGAAAGCAUCUUAUGAAACAGCCUUUAAAAAUGUCCAAACUUUUUUUUGCACAAAAUAGGCUACAUACAUGUUGUUGUGUAGAAGUUUCAAAAUUCUCAAAACCAAAUCUCUAUUUUUUAUUGUUUAAAUAAAUUUCUGCGUGCUUAUUGAAAGUAGUUCCAAAUUAAAUGGUGAGUACCUCCAAUAAAAUUCCAAGAAUAUUGUACAAAUAAUACUUAUGCUCGUAUGUUUCAUUCUAGGCCUGAAUGAAAAAAAUCAUUUCGUUUGCUAGAAAUAAUUUGUCCUUCUAUCUCAAAAUUAAUAUAAAAUAAUUGUAAUAAUCCUAAAUUUUGUUAGAAAAUCCUACAAACUUGCAUGACAACAUGUUUUUUAUGUAUACUCCCUAUGUCCCUUUUAUCAGCUUUUGAGGAGGUACAACACAGAAUCCAUGAAUGUGGAGAGUGGGAGGGUCCAGGUGCACAAUAGAAGCUCUAUCUGAACAUGGACAAAGCUGGAGUACUCCACAACGACAAUCAAUAAGGGACAGAGGGAGUAAUACUCAAUAAAAACUUAAAAUGGUUUUAAAAAAGAGGUACCAUACAUCAUUGUCCACAAAUGGUACAUCUCUUACACUGUUAUAUGAAACUAUGUGAAGGAUAUAUCCAUUUAUGAACAACGUAUAAUCGCACUUUGUUAAAAAUGUUUUCAAAUUUUUAUGACAAGCUUAUACUCCCACAUUAUGCCCCCAUACCAAUUCUUAGUUUUUUUUGGACCACUUUAUGAUAUUAUUAUUAUUAUUAUUAUUAUUAUUAUUAUUAUUAUUAUUAUUAUUAUUAUUAUUAUUAUUAUUAUUAUUAUUAUUAUUAUUUGUCAAAGUCACCAAAAAAGCAGUUUGAGUAAUGUUCAGCAAAGCACUUAAUUUGCCAUCGAUUUUCAGGAUGUGAGAUCAAAUAGAACAUAUCUUACAUAUAUUAUUGGGUUAUCUAGUGAGUUUAUAUAAAAAUACCCUCGAGUGAAUAGUGCUAACUCAUACCAUGACGCUGUCAAAAGGGAACUACCAAAUAUAUUUGAGGGCAUACCCUAUCAUCGAUUAGGCUUUAUUGUGCAUCCUAAGCUAUAGCGCUUUCUUCAGUGACUCUUAGCCAACGCAUCGACUAAAUCUGGUGGCUGCGGUGAAGCUGCACUAAGUCCCAUUUUUUGCAAGCAUCUCAAAUCCGCUAAACUCCAAUAUGUUCCAACAUGAACAUCUUCACCUUAGGCACUGAGUUAUUAGCUUUUCAAAAACAUUGUUUACUUGCACCUCACCAUGUCUCACUAGGUCCAAUGCAUAUGCAAAGUUAGUUAUCAUCUAGUGACACUUAGAUAACCAUUUAGAUAGAGUUCCCCUCUUUACAACAUAGAUGUCUAUCCUAAACCUAAUUGUACACUAUUGCAUAUCGCCGACAAAAACAAAGUGCCUAACUUAUACCUUUGCCUUCAUAUCAUCAUAAGGCUAGUUUUUUACACCUUAAAGUGGCGAUGGGCAUGAGACCUAGCAUUGGUGAUGUCAAGCAUGCCCUACAUGAGAUGGAGUUCUCGAUGCAGAGAUAUGGACUAGUUUACACUACAACUUUGAUGUCACACCCCUUCUCGACAAAGGGAGUAGGGCAAUCAACCACACUGAUGAUCUAGAGGUUCCCCCUCCUAGCUUCAUGACCGCUACAGUCCUAGACUUGGCUAUGGUCCCUUUAAUACAUAGUCAUCCGUUCACAUCAACAUCCAACAAGCGUGACAGAGAAGGUAACAAUUGAUGACCUAUUCACUACUUUAGAAGUAGUGACAAUCUAAGACUUGUGACAUGUCAUCGACCAAGCAUAAUCCUUGGCUCACUAGGAAGCUGACCAUGCUAACACUAGAGCAUGCACAUCACAAUCUAGGGUACAAAUUUGGCAUACAUGGUGUUACUAUGACACUUUAGCGAUGGAACUCACAUGGAGAUGGCCUUCUCUUUGCAGUGUUGUCUUCUUAUCUCUUGGCUUUUCUGAUGAUGUGGAGCCACUGCUAGAGUUCCUGUGACUAUAUAUGGACGCAUGGCCUAGGGAUGAUGGUGACUUUGGUGUUGAGUUGGUGGUAGGUAGGGUUUAUCAUGGUUUAGGAGAUGUCUCUACCUAUGGCAUGCAGUCUUUGGUAGGUUGGCUUGGCAGCUUUGUGGCCUCUGGGCCAUGGCUUCCUUGUUUGAGGUUGCGAUCUUGUCAUCCUUUAUCCACUGAAGAGGAUUUGAGUGUUAUACCUUGAGAAAACAGAGUAGAAAAUCUAAUGAUAACAGUGGAAAGUGUUGGGUAUUCUUAACAUCAUUACCAAAAGUAGACUUAGUUUUCUAAUUCUGAUAACGGUGCCAAAAAUGCCAAACCUAUCCCUCAUACCACUUAAGCCAAGUUGUCAUCCCCAGCAUGACAUGAGAGACGCGGUAUUGAAAUAUGCAAUUGCUAUUCUAAAUAAAUAAUGAAUAGGAUCUGCAAGCGCACAGAUUAAUACCGAUGUAGCAUUUUAACCGGGAAGUAUUUCAGGUAUCGUUAUUUAUAUUUUUACCACUAGGAAGGGAUUAGCAAUCAUCAAUAUUGAUUACAGAAUGGAAGAUGAGAUUGAGUAUCUAUCAUUGCAUGUAUAAUUGAGAACAUUUAUAUAAUUCUUUCAUACAGGGAUAAGUGUCACAUAAAGGAUAUAUGAAGUAAUAAAUAGUGACAAAGAUAAUUAAUCUGAUCAGCAUAACUUAGCCACAUAUAAAUAUGAUAAGCACCUCAAUUAGAUACUCUAGAAAGUCAUUAGCAUGGAAUUAGAACGAACUACAAGAAUAUUUCCUAAGUUAUUCUCAACUAUAUAGUCUAGCAUUAUCAUAGUUAGUGCAAGCAUACUUAGCAAUUAUUGCGAGACAAGACUACGCCCAUGCAUAGUGUCGGCGUCUAGACUCGUGGUCUAGACACUAACAAGUAUAAGUCUGCGUGACUACCCAAACUUGGAUGGUGAUGCAAGUGAGACACAGAGGGUUUAUACUGGUUCGGGCCAAGAAUGCCCAAAGUCCAGUGUGAUCGGGGGUUCUGUAUAACCUUGCACCCAAAGGUGCUUGUAGUAGGGGGUACAAGCAGGUUGCGAGAGAGGGCUAAAUCCAAGGUCUCGACUUAGUGGUGGACAGAGUGCGGGUCGCUGCUCUGUGAAAGAGUGUGGUGGGCGUGUGUAUGAACUUGAUCCUAGCUAUGAGCCCUGGCUCCCCUUUUAUAGCCUCAAGGGGAGACAGAGAUUUACAUGGGUUGAUUUCCCUGAGUGGAAGAGUUACAGCCCCGACCCUGUUGAAGCCUGUUCAUCUUGUCCUUGAGGGAUGGUCACUCUUGUGGAGGUUUGCCGAGCCCUGUGGAAGUCGUGGGGGUCGGAUCGCCGGUACUGCAGGUCGUCCCGUCAAUAGUGGGAAAAGACCUCAAAUAGUGAUGCUGAUUAACCUCCCCCAUUCCCUUUCUACUGUGAGGCAGUACGCCACAGUGAAAGAGGUAAGGGCACACAGUGAAAAAGGUGAAGCUGCAGUGCCCAGGGUGAUUGGAACAAUCGACACCCUGCCCUGCUGCGGUAUGGGAGUCAUCGCGCCUGUCACGUCGUGAGUACGGUGCCGUGCGGUGGAAGUCUUGCUUCCCAGGUGGAAUGGGGUCCGGCGCCCGAGCCUGGAAGGGGUCGGGCGAGACGGAACUUGAGUUCGAGACCCUGAGGGGUCGGUCGAGUCGGAACUUGCGUCCGAGGCCCUGAGGGGUCGGGCGAGUCGGAACUUGCGUCCGAGGCCCUGAGGGGUUGGGCGAGUCGGAACUUGCGUCCGAGGCCCUGAGGGGUCGGGCGAGUCGGAUCUUGCGUCCGAGGCCCUGAGGUGUCGGGCGAGUCAGAACUUGCGUCCGAGGCCCUAGGGGGUCGGGCGAGUCGGAACUUACGUCCGAGGCCCUGGGGGGUCGGGCGAGUUGAAUGAACUUGCGUCCGAGGCCCUGGGAGGUCGGGCGAGUUGAAUCAACUGGGGCCCGUACCCCGGUGAUUGUGGUUAGUAUGUUUUUUGCGUUUUUUAUUGCUCUGAUUUGGGUAUCCCUUUUUAUGGUACCCAACAGUAGCCCCCGAGCCUCUGAAGGGGUGGGGUCACCUCUUUAGAGGUUCUUUCCCCAGGGACUGCUUGUUGACUGGGAGCUUUUUACUUUUCUCGGAGGGUGCGCGCGAGCGCACCCGCCGGGUGUAGCCCCCGAGCCUUUUGGAGGAAUGGUGUUAUUCCUUCAAAGGCUUUUACCCCUUACAUCUAUAGUCUGGAGUAUUUUUGAGGGAUAGGUUGCGCGUUCUUUAUACGUGGUGCCUGUUCCCAUGGUGCGAGGAAGCCCCCGAGCCCUUUCCCCAAAAGGGUCGAUCAGGUUCUUUCUCGUCUUAUAAUUACGUCCCUCAUUCUUCCUUUCGCUCGGAGGAGGGGUGGGUCGUGCCAUACUACCCUCGAUGCGAGUGACGACGCUUCCCGGGAGCUGCAGGCGGGUAGAUCCAAGUGGAUGUCCGAGUCCCAUUCGAUAGGGGUCGGCUAGUGGCCUUAUGGGCACAUCUCAAAAAGUACCCGAGGGCAGUCACGGUGGAUGUCGGAACCGUUCGUUAGGUUCCAAGGGCUCGAUGGCUCCCUCGAUGGGAUCCCACUCACGUGACACCCGCAUGGGUCUCGGAUAUGACUUGUAAAGAUGCGCCGACUCCCUAUGGGGCUCGAACCUUGGCCUCUAUUGUGCUCAUCUUCAGUCAUCCCUCGCUCAGUCAUCCUGAGGCGACUGUUCGAACCUGUGUCGCAGGUCAGUCUCGCAACCUCUGGAACGUAGGUGGCCAUGGCCUGGGGAUUUUGGGCCUCGCAAGGCUUUUUUCAGACUCGUUUUGUAGUGUUGGGGUCGGGCGAGACGGAAUCUGCGCCCGACGGGAAACUGCCUUGCAGCUUUCGCUCAGGGUCUUGAUGGGGUCGGGCGAGACGGAAAACUGUGUCCGACGGAGACCUUCCUGCGACGCUUGGUCAGCGGGGGGUCGGGCGCCGCGUCCCCUGGAAGGAACCGCCCUGACAUAACUUUUCAGGGUGCUUCGUUUGAGGCGCGGUGCGUGGGGAGUCGAAACGACCGUGCCGUCUCGCGCUGGCUGGAUGGGACGUUUCACCUGCGAAAUAAAUGCGCGCAUGCGGCGGGCGCGAGAAUCGGAGGGAGUUGGCACUUCGAAUUUUUCACCUGGGGAGUGGGCGACGGUUGCUCUUCCUCCCUCUUGGCCUUCUUCGCAGGGGGCGUGGUCGUGGCGCGCCUCUUCUAUAAACGCGGCUGCUGGGUGUUGGGUAUUUUAAACGCAAACAGAAAAAUCCGCAAGCGCACGGAUACCGAUGUAGCUUUCACCCGGGAGUAUUCCAGAGUAUCGAUUUUCCACAGGGAACGUGAGUGUACUAAUUAAGAUCCAAGAUCGCCCAAGGAUAACUAUAUAAUUAUUUUUGGUGGGAAGAGAGGAAGUUUCCUGAGAGUUCUCUAUUUGAUUUAAGAAUCAAGAAUUACUUCAAGAUUAUCUAUUUUGGGACAUCAGAACACUAACCACAGAAAGAGAUGAGAAGGGGGCUAGGAAGCUCUGACUACGGUCCUACAAACACCGAUCCGAACGAGGUGGAAUACGUCGACCGUUAGGGCUGUCACUACCCUAGGGCUACCACAACAAUCCGCAGGAUUGGGUGCAAUUCCAGGUAAUUGCAAGACUAAACACCACGUCUAAUCUAUUAAUUACUACUCUAAUGUUGCAAAGAUUAGAGCACUUGAUGCAAGCGGGAAUCCAAUAAAUAACUUGAAUGUAAAUAAAAGUAAUUAAAGAACUCAGGAUUAUGAAUUGAAGAACCUGGAGAACGAUGAAGAACGAACCAGUUGCUGCAAAAGUACAAUGUUGAGGAAGAUCCGACAGAUCCGGCUCCUCCUCCUCCGCUCUCCUCUUCUCUCUCCCUAUUUUCUAGAUUACAACUAGAACUAACUAGAACUAACUAGAACUAGAGGAACUAGAAUUAGAAGAACUAGAGGGAUCCUCUCUAUGUGGAUGAAGACUUGAAACCCUAGCUUUGAUUCUGUAGAAGAGGUAUGCCUUCAGGGGCUGGUGGGGGUCUGCUUAUAUAGUCCAGGAAGAGUAGCCCCCAAGAAAUCUAGGAAGAGUAGCUCCCAAGAAAUCUAGGAAGAGUAGCUCCCAAGGAAUUUCCACGUUAUUCUCCACCAUCCGAUCAAACCGACCUUAAUCGUGUGAUUUUCCACGAUCCUUAGAGUCGGUGGAGCAUAAUCCCCGAGACUCGUGCUGAUUGGCCAGUAGAGGAGGGCGGGCGCCCAGGGGGUAGGGCGGGCGCCCUGCUUCCGGGCCCGCUCGGCCUCCCGUUCGUUCCCAUGGCUUCUGGAGUCUUCUAGAUGAUAGAAAAUUGCGCGGCACGUUAAUAUAACCCCCUGCAGAAAUAGACAAACACAAAACUCGUGGAAUUCUGUCACAUAAAACCCUAAGUCUAGGUGUUGGUUGCAUUUGGAUCCUUUUCCAUGAUUAGUUGAUGGUUAAAUGUGAGCAUUAAGGACCGUCAACAAGCUCCCCCAAGCUUAACCUUUGCUCGUCCCUGAGCAAAGCUAAAAUCAACAAGAAAACAGGGGUUACUUUUAUGCCUCUUACUACAGGGUUUUUAAGUUAUCACUAAGGUCUUAAGUGAUUGAAAAACAGAAUGAUCAAGUCAAGCACUAUGUCUCAAGUUCUUCUGUCUUACCUUUGUUCUGGAGUUUUUUUUAUAAGUCUACAAAAUGAAACUGAGGCAUUGCCUUCUUCUCGAAAGAUAUAUAAGUAGAGCUCUAAAAGUUUUAGCAUACUUACUUUGCAUUUUGCUAUGUCAACGCUCGGAGUAAGGGAGAGGAAUGACAUACUCCUAGAUCUAGACCUCUGACCUUUUUGAAAAGUUUGUCAUCUCUUACUGGCAUAUUGCUUAUUAGAGGGACCAUGGGCUAUCAUUUUUUUUCUCUUUUUUUCAGUCUCUUUUUUUUUCAAGUGGGCAGCAAGUACCCCUAAUUCUACUGCCGGACACAUGUCCAUUUUUUCCACUCAGGUGGGUAUCUUUGUACCCCUAAUUCUACUUCGGACACUUGUCCAUUUUUAUCUCUCGUCUCACUCUCUUUUUUUUCGAAUCAAAUUUUUGCAUAGUCCCAUGCCUCUAACGCAAUAAUACUUCGGAAGAGUGAAUCUUUUAUAUUUUUAAAACAAAAAGAUCUUGAUCUUUGGAGCAUGAUAAUUCUCUCAACCAAAACUACAAGAAUUAACAAUGGCUUGAACAAAGCAAGUGUCCACAGAUUUAAUAUUUAUAUCUUAUAAGACUCUAGGUAUUAUGUCAAACAGGAUCUCAUCAUCAUUUUUUUUAGAUUUUCAAAAGAUAAAAUCUCCAGAACUCUAGCAAAACUUGGAACAAGUUAAAUAGUAGCUCAGACCUUCUCAUAUCAUGUUUGUCAAUUACCUAG
Molecule: long non-coding RNA, 61248 nt
Filed under: Sorghum bicolor (sorghum)
Lineage: Eukaryota; Viridiplantae; Streptophyta; Magnoliopsida; Poales; Poaceae
Description: long non-coding RNA (SBIC_LNC000732)
Rfam family: Plant small nucleolar RNA R71 (bases 5527-5633)
Source: RNAcentral